CAUUAAAGAAUAUGGGGUCCAUGUGAUCGCAGGGAAGUCAGAUUCAUUUGAAGAGUCGGCAGUGGGAAGAGAUGCAGUGAUGCCUUCACCACCGCUGUAUCAUCUGCUUCCUCAUCCCCAUUGUGGUUCGAUUACAGCGUCUACACCUAAGCAAUGGAGUGACUAUUUAUCUGCGAAGCUAGAAGGACAUAGCCUCGAUUUAAGACUUGAUGGUGAGAACAAAUAUUUCAUUUAGUUAUUUUUAUUCUAUUAUAUUUAAUUUAUGAGAUUAAAUAUUAUCUUUAAUGAUUUUAUUAUUAUUAUUUAAUCUAAAAAAUUAAAUAUCAUCUUUAAUAAAAAAAUAUUAAAUAUUUAAGGCUUUUUGGUAAGAAUACAUAUUUCCUUUAGUUAUUUCUAUUUUAUUCUAUUUAAUUUAAGAGAUUAAAUAUCAUCUUUAAUUCUUACAUUUUUCUUAUUUAAUCUAAAAAAUUAAAUAUUAUCUUUAACAAUAUUUUUUAUUAAAUAUUUAGAGUUUGCUUGGUUUUAUUUCUUUUCUUGAUUUUAUAAUAAUAUUUUUCUUAUUUAAUAUAAAAAAUAAAUAUUAUCUUUAACAAUUAGAUCUAUCGAAUAUCACUUAAAAAUAAAUUAUAACUUUAAUAAUUAUUUUUUGAAAAACAAAAGGCCAACAAUCACUAACAUAUUUUAUUAAAAUCACUUUAGUUUAUAUAGAAAAUAUUGAAAACUGAUUUUUGUUUUUUUACAUUAAAAUAAAAAAUUGAAUAAUGUUUUUAUAUUUUAUUUCAAACUCGAUAUUUUAAAACAAAAAUGAAAAAGAUGUGAUAUUAACAUUUUUUAUUAUAAAGUAAGUUUUUUAAUUAAAAGUGAUGGGAAUUUGUUUUUAUUGCAUGUACAAUCAUGCACAUUUAACUUUCUUUUUAAAUUUGAUGGUUUUUUAGGACGGAAAUGGCUUGAAGGUGGUGAAGGCUUUGAUUGACAUGAGAGUACAAGAUUAGUUUACAUAGAGAUGCUUGAAGUUGCUCCAAAUCAGUACGAUACUUUCAUCUGACAUGUUGAUAUGUAUUUGUUGGCUUGAAGAUUAUUUUCCAAGCUUGGAAGUUUUAUUGAAUUCUCUUUGAAAUCUUUUCCAUCCGCUGGACAACUUAUAUUAUUAUGCAUGAUGUAAUUUAUAUUUUCAAGUUACAAAUUUUGAUGAAUAUUGUUUCAUUUUUUUCCUCAUUUCAAAAGAUGAAAAUCCUUGAUCUUAGUUAGAAAUAAAUUGGUUUUCUAGGAAGAGAUUAUUGAUUGGAAUAUAGUAUUUGAAUUGGUUCUUCAUCAUUUACUGUUAUAUAUAAUUUAAAAUAAUUGAUGAAAAUACAUAGAAAAGUUUUGAGAGCAUCCUUAAUUAGUCUAGUAAGUAAAGUGUUGUUAGUUUUGACUAUAAGAUCUUGCUAUGUAUUAUUGCAUGGUUUUUACUAUUUUUUUGCAUUUCUUCUUUUUGUAUAUACAACUUUUGUUUUUCUUGCCGCUUGUCAUUAGCUUUAUGGCACCAACACCAAUUAAUAAUAAAUCUUGAACUAUUAUUAAAUAAAGAAAAAAUAUAAAUAUCGUUAAAAUACCAAACUUGAAUUGCUCAAUCCUAAAGAAACCCUAUGACAAUAAUCUAAUUUAGAAAAUAAUUAAUUUAUCCUUGUAGUCUAAGAAAAUAGUAUUUAAUUCUUAUGUUUUCAUAUACAUCUAUGAUUUAAUAUGUUGAUUGAAAUUGGCAAGUGAGUUUACUCACGUAUUGUUAUAUUGGUUUUGAGUUCAAAUAAAUGUUUAAAAAGGGAGUUUUUUCAUGAAUGUAACCCUUCAAUAUAUGAAUGUUUAAAAUUGUAUUCAAUAUGAAUGAUGGAUGAUUUUGCUAAGAAUUGGUUGGUAAAAAACUUAAUUUCGAUAUAUAAAAACUUAAGAGACAACAAUAAAUAGAGAGACUAGUAAAGAUUUUAUGUGCUUUCUUGUUUUUUUUUUUUAAUUGGAUUACCUUUGUCUUUUGUUUCAAGUAAAAUUCUAGUAUAUAUCACUAAAUUAAGAAUUAAAGGUCUAAUUAUAUGAAACACAAUUUUAAAGACUACAUCAACUACAUUUCAUAUGCUCAACUCUAAGCAAAUUGAAAUUUCAAGGCCAUUUGUAUCUUGAAAACACAAUCUCAAUAAUCUUAAUAUUGAAUUAUUAUUUGUUGAGUUGGAAAAUAGCACUAAGGAACACAAAAGCCGUACUGUUUAUCUUCUUGGCAUUGUUCAAAGGAACGCAAAAAGAUACUCCAAUUGUGAAAGAUUAUUAUUGUCAUAAAGUAAAACUUUCAAUAUAGAGAGUGAAAUAAAGAGCAAGAGCAAAAAAAUAAUUCGUGUGUGUAUUAGCUAAAUGAAAUGAAGAUUAGAGUAAAAAGGAUAAAAAAAAAAAAAAAAAAUAGAGAGAGAGACUCGUUAAGAUUUUAUGUUGGUGCUCAACAUGUUCUUUCUUAUUUUUUUUUUUUUUUUAAUUUUAUCUUAACGAGUGAAAUAAAGAAACACUCCCCCCAUCUUUCUUGUUCCCUUUCCCUUCUUUACAUGGCUUACUCAGUGAAAAAGCAAUUAAACACCCCAUUUGAUUUUCAAUCAGUAUGAGAGUGAGAGAGAGAGAGGCCAAGGUGGUCCUUGAAUAUUUUCUUCUUUUUUGUCUCGCUCACUGGGGCAAACCAUUUUUUCCAAAAUUUUGAAUAGCAUGCGAUCAAAAAGAAUUUUGAAUAGCAUGCCAUCAAAAGGAAUUUUGUUCAAUCCCAAUCCCACAUUGUCUGUAGAAGUAUUUACUUUUGACUGUACACUUUGUUAUUUUCCAAUCCCUCCCCAGUUCUGCAACCAUUUCUCUACUUUCUAUGCUCUUGGCUUGCUAAAAACUAAAGAAAACACAUUGCUCUACUUGCCUGCCUUCACUCUUCAGAUUGCUCAACAAAUCCCUUGAGACCUUCUCCAUAGUUAACACAUCACAUAAUGGCUACUCUAAAAAAUUUAGCCAUAAACAUUGAACACCUUGAGCAAUCAACGUGCCUUCCUUCACAAUAUCCAUCACCCAUAAAUCUUUCUUUUGGGAUGUCGCCGGGAGUUUAAUUUCCGUGUAAAAAUUAUGUAUAAAUUUCCAUUCUUUCCUUCCAUCCAUUACUUGUCCUCUAUGAAGAUUCUAUGUAUGAAAUCUCGGAAUCUUUUCGAGUAUAACUUGGGAUCAACAGCUGAGAUAGACGUGGGAUCCACUUCUAAGGACUUGUAUGCAUGCUCUAGCUUUUUGCUGAUAUCAUAAUCCUAGAGAUACCAAAGUGAAGAACUACAUCUCACAAUCACCAAAAUUCAAAGUAAAGUAACGGAGAAGAAAAUCUGAUAACAAUGAAUGAUCACUCAUUAACCACAGCGAAUCUUACGCUUUGAAAACACUUUUCACCAUCAAUUUUCCUUUUCUCAUUGAUUUUAAAUCUUCCAGGCAGAUAAAAUAGCAUUGGUUUUAUUCAUCAGCUUAGGCAUCAACAACAUGUUGCAUCCACAAUCUUACUACUACAUUAUAAUUAUAAACAAAGCUAAAAAAAUAUAUAUAUGAGGACAGAGUUAACAGACAUGCACUAAGAGUUAACAGACAUGCACUAACACACACUGUGCAAAUCAGUGUACAGCUGUUAUAACAAACAAGUGUACAAUCUGUUUUCUCCAACCUUCCAGCAUUAUUCUCCCGAGCAUAUUCUGUCAGCUCAAGAUUAGGCAAUUCUGUUAACCAUUCUGUUAGCUCUGUUCUCUUUUGUUGUAUAUAUACUUGAUUGAUUGAUUGAUUCAAUAACAUUAUCUUUCUCUCUUCUCACCUGCCCCCUUUUUCUUCUCCUUUUACCUCUAGCUUCCAAUGCCUAUCAACACCACCAUCCUUAACACAAAUGAAUCUCACAGCAUGUUGAUUACCAUCAAUGUAGCAGCCCAAACUCCAUUAAAACUUAUCUCCACCAGGCACCAACUAUCUAGCCUGGAAACUUUGUUGGGGAUUCCGGCUCCCCCAUGCGCGGACCGGGGGUGUACUGAUAGUUGCUCAACGGAGGGUAAAGCACACUGAUACAAUAUUUUACGUGGUUCGGCAAAACCGCCUACAUCCACGGGAGAGUCCAUAUUAUUAGAGAUAUAUAGAGAAAGGAUUACAACAUACAUGGAGGAGGAGGAUCACUUCACUCAAACUCAAUUCCCAGCUCUUUUGCUACACUUACAGCUGCUGCAAUGGCAGCAGCCAUUGCAGCUCUCUCUUUCUCUCCACUCUCUUGCACACACUCACGUUCUCUCUCUCUCAUUUUUCUCUCAAAUAUAAGCCUCCUUUAUAGGCAUUUCAUGGUCAACAUGGAGGGGCCAAUAGCCUUAAAGCAUGGCAUGAAUUGUGGCACAAUUCAUGCUUCCACUUGCUUAGUGGUGGGGUAUUGCCACAAAUGGCAAUAUCCUAACAAUCACCCCCUUUGCCAUUUGUGUGGGCAAUUGUCCUCUUGCUUCUUCAGCACAGGCUUGCAUCUUGCAGCUCUUCCAAGCUUACCAUUCUGAGAGCGUCUUCAACACAACAUUCCCUUUCGAGUGUAUCAAUCAUGCUCGGUCCGGAAUGAUUUUUCAAGCCUUACACCAAGGCUUACAACACCCCCUCAAAUAGAUAUUUCUAAGUGCGACAGUCAUUUAGUAUUUCAAUGUGAUCACAAGCUCACCACUCUUCCAAGAGUCUACUCAUCCAAGAGUUGUGCCUGCCCUCUGUUCCACCCUAGGAACCACGUCUUACUUCUCCGUGAGUCUCUCGCUCUUAGUCGUAAGAGUCCAGGUAGCUCUCCACCUUUAACCAUAGGGGCAGCCCAUUAAAGGUUGAUUCAUAUCUGUCUUCAUACUCUGAGUAUUACAAUGCCAUUACCGAGCUCACCACCUUAACAAGAGUCAACUCGUUCUCGGAACCUGCGCAUGCCCUUCUGCUUCUUCAUAGCAGCCGCGUCUUAAUGCUCCACAAGUCACACACUUAUUGUCCAAGGCAAAUGUCUUCUAGCUCAUUGAUCUUUAGCAUGGGGGCAAUAUCCAUGAAAGUCAAUCCUGCAUUUGUCUCCAUACUCAUCAUAGCCACUUCAUUGGCUAUCUAUACACUUGUCCACUUGUAUCUAGCCAUCACAUCGGCUUUGGAGCGUUCUGAACUGGGCUCAUAUCAUGGCCCUCACACCUUCUCCUCAGGUGUCUCCGCUCGUCAUCAUGCGACGGUCUGAACUGGGGCUCCUCUCAUAGCCCUCACACCUUCUCUACGGUGUCUUCGCCCGUUGUCAUGGGGCGGUCGCAUCCUUCUUCAGCUGGGAUGCUUCAAAGUGGCUCCAAAAUUCUCUACCACCAUGUGCACUAUGGGAGAGAUUAUAACCACUGAUUACAUAGAAAGAGAAACUUGCGGUAUACUCCUCGCAAUCCUCCACCUCGAUUUCUAUGUUUGGAGCUUUUGUGUCUUUCUACUUGAUAGCUCCACCUACACCAACUCUCUUUGGUGUCUUCGCCUUUCAUCAUAGGCGGUCGCCUUUUAUCACAGGCGUUUGCACCCCCUCAAUUAGGUGCUUCUACAACAGCUCUCUUUCCAUCCUUGCAUGCAUUGGAAAGGUCUUCGCCUGUUGUCUUCAUCAAGAGCAUAAGAGACUUCCUGUUGUACAAACUUUAACAGUCUCUGCUCUGAGCUUCAUCUGGGAACACUUCUUCUCCUUGCACCUAUUGUCUCAUUACAGUACCUCGUUGGAUCCUACGGGUACUCCUGCACAAUCUCCGUGUGCCCUCGUGCAAUUUCUGUUCUCCAGAUUUCUCCCUAUUUCUUGCUUAUGUUUGACAGCAGCUCAUCCUGUCACAACACCUGUCCAAGUCAAAAAUAUGGUGCCAAUCUUUAUCCCCUUGCUGUAUUCCUCUUCCAUUAUCAGGGUCUUCAUCAGUUCUCCCCUCGAGAAAUCACAGUCACCGAAUCUAACUUCUUUGGAGAAAUCACCACUCCAUCAGAUCCUUGAACCUUUGGAACCCAACUAUUCCCUUGUGCCGUCAUCCUGCUAGCCUUCAACUGUUUCAUUACAAACUGCUAUAUAUACAAAAAUAGUACCGUAUGGAUAAUCCUUCCACUAAGCAAGUUCCCAGGAAAGAUUGGAGGGGUCACACUGGUCCCGCUUAAAACCCAAUCUCCUAGACAGAACUUCUUAGGACAUAUCUAUCCAUCGUACUGUCUUUUUGUAUAUACAACCAUUUGCUAGCUUUGUUGCGGCUUUCCUUUACAAGUGAUCUGGGGUAUCCCGAUUUUAUACCUGAUUUCUCAACAUCUGGCGAGACUACCAGUUCUUAGAUUCGUCAAGAUUGGUCUUUAUCAAUUUUCACUCUACACCUCUAAUUGUCCACUUGAUCGGGUGUCUAGAGUGUCCCAAUUUUGCCUUCCCUCAAGGCAGUUAAAUUUCUCCCAACUUAGCAGCUCAGCACAUGUAAUUGGGUAAACAUGUGCACCUUCUUCUUCUUCUCUUCAACGACCACCAUGAUAACCUUCAGAUGCCUCCUGAUCGGGCAAUCUCUUUUGUUAAUUCAUCACUACCACUUUCGGUCUCAAAUCUCAACGAUCGGACCAUACCAUUGCAUCCGAAACGAUCAAAUUAGCUGGAAACAAGUCUGAAAUCGUCCAAAUCGCACUUCAGACGGCUAAGAUUUGAUCAAAACAAUUCUGGCCUGAUCAAUGGCUCAGAUUCAAUCUCAGAUCCGGUUGCACGUAGGAUCAGCUACACUGGAUCCUGUCCCUCGGCUCGCGGCUCGGCUCCAAUUAGGCUCGGCUCGGCUUGGCUCGGCUCGUGGCUAAUGACGUGGUUGGUGGGUCCCACUUUGCUGACGUGUCAGUGACUGUACGCUGACAUGGCAUGCCAACUGUGCAUGCUGACAUCACACUUACAUCAGGCUGAUGUCAUCCCUGGCAUGCCUACUAUGCAUGUUGACAUCACAAUUAUGUCAUACUGACGUCAUUCAUAUCCGGGUCAGCCAUGUGGGUCGGGUCAACUGGUAUUUGGGUCGGGUCAGCCCAUCCGGGCGAAGAAGACGCGUGGGGUGCGUCUGCGCGCGUGGGCAGACGCCUUGCCGGAGAGUGAUGGAGAGUACGGCCAUGUCCGACGUCCGAUUUUGACGCCGUUUUCACCAGUGGCUUCGUCUCGGCCUCCUCUACACGGUGGUAUAGUCAAAACACCAUUUUGAGAACUUUCAUUUUUGAGCAAAAAUCAAACACCCCUUUAAACCAUGUGCUCUGAUACCAGUUGUUGGGGAUUCCGGCUCCCCCAUGCGCGGACCGGGGGUGUACUGAUAGUUGCUCAACGGAGGGUAAAGCACACUGAUACAAUAUUUUACGUGGUUCGGCAAAACCGCCUACAUCCACGGGAGAGUCCAUAUUAUUAGAGAUAUAUAGAGAAAGGAUUACAACAUACAUGGAGGAGGAGGAUCACUUCACUCAAACUCAAUUCCCAGCUCUUUUGCUACACUUACAGCUGCUGCAAUGGCAGCAGCCAUUGCAGCUCUCUCUUUCUCUCCACUCUCUUGCACACACUCACGUUCUCUCUCUCUCAUUUUUCUCUCAAAUAUAAGCCUCCUUUAUAGGCAUUUCAUGGUCAACAUGGAGGGGCCAAUAGCCUUAAAGCAUGGCAUGAAUUGUGGCACAAUUCAUGCUUCCACUUGCUUAGUGGUGGGGUAUUGCCACAAAUGACAAUAUCCUAACAAACUUCAAUUCCAGACUCUAUUCAUAGGACAUUUGAUUGAGGUCUCCACAAACAUUGAAACACCGCAAUUUUUCAUGAUAAAAUCCAAAGGAUUGGUACUUUGGUGUUUGAGGGGCUGGUAAAUGAAAGAACAGAUCAAGAGAUGACAUCCCUCUAUACCGCUGUUAUUCCUUUCAAGGUGCGUAUCAGGUGUUUGAAAAACUUCCUCAACUUAAAAAUAAAAAGGUCCUGUUUACAAUGUUUUUUAGUCCUUUACAAAUCUUCCAAUGUGUUGCGUUUACUGAAUAUGAUAGUGGGAACUUAUUUAUCAAGAAUUAACUACUCAGAAGAAAAUGUAAAGACGCAAUAAUGAUUUUUUUAUUUUAGAUUCCAUAGUCUACAAACUUGGAAGCAUACGGACCAGUCAGAAGACAACAUGUUUAUUGUAUAUGAUAAACAAUAAUAAACAUCUCAUUCUUAAAAUGAUGGUAAAUCAGAAACAACCAUCCAAUACUUGAAGAUCUGUUGAAGAUAUUUGGCCUUUGGAAAUUUUGAAGAGAACUGGAGCAGUUGCAUAUGGAUUAGCUCUUCCAUCCAAUCUUUUCAUCUAACCAUCCAGUUUUCUAUGUAUCCAUGCUUUAAAAGUAUCUUCGUGCUCCAUCACAUGUAUUGGAGCCAUAAACAGUAGCAUUUCAAGGAGAUAUGUCAUGUGAAAUCCGUUCUAAUGAGAUUGCUUCAGUGAAAGUAAUGUGAGAAGGUCAUCCAAGUGAUGAAGCAACACGAGAACCUGAGAAGAUGAUACGUAAUAAAUAUCGUUAUUUCUUCAUUCAAUCAAGCUAACAAGUUUUCUACUUAAAUUCGAGGAUGAAUUUAUUUUAACAGGGGAGGUGGAAAUGUAAACCCACCCCAUAAUAUAUAACUCAUUAUUGUUUUAUAUGUUGGCCCGUUAAUUCAAGUCAUUUUCUUCUAUCUCUCUUAUAGGAAUGUUCCUCCUUCUCCCUUUUACUGCAAAUAUUCCCCCACGAUCCCAAACCAUCAAUUGACCCUAUAACUCUCUUGUUUUGAGUAGGUUUACUUCAACUUUAUCAAGUGUUUAUAAUAUUGUUUUAUGUUUAUUUAUUUAUAUAAAAUUGUUGAAUUCUAGGCGUUAUAUGAUAUUAGUUGAUGUUAUAUGGAAUUAUUUAAAUUAAUUUGUGUGUGGGUAGUAAUAAGUGUAUAUGAAUAUGAAUUGGAGUAAGGUCAUAGAUGGGUUGGUGUGAAGCUUUGAUUAAUUGAUAUAUUUUGAUGUAAUGAGUAAAUACCUUAAGAAAUUUGAAUAUUUGAAAGAUAAUAGGUAAAUAUUGAAGAAUUGUAUAGAAAGAAUCAUAUUGAAAUUAUGAAAAAUAUGUUUUGGGGUUGAUGAUGGAAGAAUUACAGUUUGGUCCUUGCUUUUGAGAAAUUAAGAUUUUGUCCCUAAAUUCUAAAACAAUUAUAGUUUAGUCACUGGUUGUAAAUAACAAUUUUUAAGAUAUUUUCCUGAUAAAUAUCUGAGAAAUAAUGAUCAUCUAUUAUCAAUUUUUAUUGUUAUCAUUUAAAUUUAAAAUUAAUUGUAUUAUCUACGAGCACAAGUGGUACAGUUAUCAAUCGAAUUUUAGCAAAAUCAAGGAUCCAAGAAUUGGCCUCUGUAACAUAUUAGGAAACUGGCAUGCAAACCCGACAAGAUAAAAGGCAAGGGACAAGAUAAAAUGAGAAAUAAGACACAAGAAUUUACGUGGUUCACCCAAUUUGGCUACGUCCACGGGCAAGUAUAGAAGGAUUUUACUAAGUAAUGUGGGAAUUACAACCUCUCUCUACUAAUAGGAGAACAACUGAAAUCUCUCUAUUAAUAGGAGAAAACACCUCACUUACUCUCUCACAAAUACCUCACAAUUUUGUGGGAUUACUUUCCCUCUCUCACUCUUCUCUUCCUCUCUUAUGAUGUGCAAAAUAAGCUUGGAUGCACUGCCUAUUUAUAGGCAAGCAUCCAAGCAAAGGACAAAAAGGCACCAAUUGGUGCUGCAAGUGGCACCGAAUUGGUGCCCAACAUUGUUGAAUUUGCAGCACAAAUUUGGUGCCUAACAUUGUUGACUUUGCCAACAAUGCAGCUGGCUUCACAUUCUCCCACUUGAAGACUUUGAUGAGUGAAUCAAGUCUUCACACUUAAUCAUCUGUGAUUCUUCUAUCCUUUCUAUACUUGUCAUCUUCAUGCUGCUUACAUUUCUGUUAGGCCAUAAGAGGAUCUGCACCAUAUGUACUUGUCAGUGUUGACUGGUUUGGUUAAAGCAUCUGCUGGGUUUUCCUUCGUGUGAACCUUUUGAAAAUCUACACUUCCAUCUUCCACUACUUCGCGAACAAAGUGAUACUAAACAUCUAUGUGUUUUGUUCUUGAAUGAAACGCGGGAUUCCUUGCAAUAUGCAAAGCACUCUGACUAUCACAAUACAAAAGAAUGUUCUCUUGUUUGUGCCCGAGCUCCUCCAUAAGUUUCUUCAUCCAUAUUGCUUCUUUACAAGCUUGUGUAGCUGCCAUGUACUCAGCUUCUGUUGUGGAUAAAGCUACAACAGUCUGAAGUUUAGAGACCCAGCUCACAGCUCCUCCUGCAAUUAUGAACACAUAGCCUGUAGUGGAUUUUCUUUUCUCAAGGUCGCCAGCAAAAUCUGAAUCAACAUAACCUCUGACGGUAAAUUCUGAUCCUCCAUAUCAUAAUGCAACAUCUGAGGUGCCCUUGAUGUAUCUCAAGAUCCUCUUAAUAGUAUUCCAAUGCUCUCUACCAGGAUUUGCCAUGUAUCGACUAGCUACUCCCACUGCUUGUGCAAUGUCUGGUCUUGUACAUAUCAUGGCAAACAUUAAGCUUCCCACUGCUGAUGCAUACGGUACUCGAGACAUCUCCAUCCUCUCUGCUUCAUUGCUAGGAGACAUACUUGAGGAUAAUUUGAAGUUAAUAGGAAGUGGGGUGGAAAUUGGCUUACAAUCUUGCAUGUUGAAGUGUCGUAAGAUCUUAUUCAAAUAAUUCUUCUGAGAAAGCCAAAUCUUCCUCUUACUUCUGUCUCGGUGAAUUUGCAUCCCUAGAAUCUUGUUUGCUGGUCCCAAGUCCUUCAUAUCAAACUCCCUAGCCAACUGUGCCUUCAAUUCUUGGACUCGAUCUUUGUUGGAGCCUAUUACCAACAUGUCAUCCACGUACAACAACAAAAUGAUGAAAACAUCAUUUUCUUCAAACCUCUUGUAAUACGUACAAUGGUCUGAACUGAGUCUGUUGUACCCAAGGCUAAUUAUGAAGGAAUCAAAUCUCUUGUACCAACAUCUCGGCGCCUGUUUGAGACCAUAUAGAGAUUUGUUCAACCUGCAAACCAAGUUCUCCUUGCCUACUUCAGCAAAACCCUCUGGUUGGAGCAUAUAAAUUUCUUCUUCAAGUUCUCCAUGAAGAAAUGCAGUUUUCACAUCUAACUGCUCUAAGUGAAGAUCAAAUAUAGCACACAUCGCCAAGACUACUCUGAUUGUAGUAAGUCAUACCACUGGAGAAAAUAUCUCAUUAAAAUCUAUUCCUUCUUUCUGAGCAUAUCCUUUCACCACCAAUCUUGCACGAUACCGCUCCACUUGAUUAUUGCCAUCAUGCUUUAUCUUGUAAACCCAUUUGUUGCCAAUGGCCUUCCUUCCUUGUGGUAGCGGAACAAGAUCCCAAGUGUUGUUCUUGUGUAGAGCUUCAAUCUCCUCUUGCAUCGCUGUCAUCCACAUAGAUACAUCUGUGCUUUUGAUAGCCUCAUGGAAAGUUGAUGGCUCUCCAUCCUCUGUUAGAAGACAGUAUGCAAUGUUGCUCUCAGUAACAUAUUCUGAGUGCCAAGCCGAUGGUCUUCUUUCACGAGUUGACCGUCGAACUUCAGGAGUUUCAGAUUCUAUUUGUUCUUGUUCUUCAUGCUCUGGUACAGCUUCAGAAGAAGUAUGAUUCUGAGUAUUUUCCAUCUGGACUGCUGUAGUCUCCUUUGGAAUGCUAUUAUGUUCUUCCAUUUGUAUUUUACCUUCUGCAAAUAUAACAUCUCUGCUGAUGACUAGCUUGUGGGAUUGGGCAGUGGGAUCCCACAAGCGAUACCCCUUCACUCCAUCAGCAUAUCCCAAGAAUACACAUUUUCUGGAUUUUGAAUCCAGCUUGUUGACUUCUUGAGUAUUGUACAUCACGUACACAGGACUUCCAAAUAUAUGUAAUUGAGAAUAAUCAGCUGACUUUCCAGUCCACAUCUCCAUCGGUGUCUUCAGCUCAAUUGCAGUUGAUGGAGAUCGAUUUAUCACAUAACAGGCGGUAUUGACUGCUUCUGCCUAGAAUGACUUUCCUAGACCUGCAGCCUUCAACAUUGCUCUCGUUCUUUCUAAUAGAGUUCUGUUCAUCCGCUCUGCCACUCCAUUUUGCUGUGGAGUGUAUGCCGUUGUGAACUGCCUUUUGAUACCUUCAUGUUGACAGAAGUUAUCAAAUUCAUCACUGGUAUAUUCUCCUCCAUUGUCAGUCCUCAAACACUUGAUCUUCUUUUCAGAUUCAAGUUCCACCCGCGCUUUGAAAGUUUUAAAGAUUGCGAACACAUCUGCCUUCCUUCUAAUUGGAUGCACCCAACAUCUCCUGGAGAAGUCAUCUAUGAAUGAUACAAAGUAUCUUGCUCCUCCCAAGGAUACAACCGGUGCUUGCCAAACAUCAGAGUGAAUCAAGUCUAAGAUGCAUUUGCUCUUAGUUGUUGAUGUGCCAAACUUCAACCUGUGUUGUUUACUUGUAACACAGUGCUCCCAAAAAGGUAAAGUAACCUUUGUAAGCCCAGGGAGUAACUUCUGAUCAAAGAGAACUUUCAAACCUUUCUCUGACAUGUGGCCUAGUUUUUGAUGCCACAUCAUCGUCUUCUUUUCUGCAGGACUGGCUGAUGCGAUUGACGCUUCUGCCCUAUGAUGUGUUUCUCCCAUUAAUACAAACAUGUUUGCAACUAUUUUUCUCGCCUUUAAAACUACCAACGCUCCUUUGACAAUUUUCAUUAUUCCAUUGUCUGUUCGGAUCUUAUAGCCAAGACUAUCAAAUUGUCCCACAGACAAAAGAUUUUUCUUUAAGUCUUUCACAUGACGCACUCCUGUAAUAGUACGAAUUAAGCCAUCAUACAUCUUCAAUUUGAUGGUGCCAAUGCCAGCAAUCUCUAAAGCAUGAUUAUCACCCAUGAACACUUUGCCUCCAGAGAUGGGUUCAUAUGUAUGGAACCAAUCUCGAUUAGGAGUCAUAUGCCAUGUUGCUCCUGAAUCCAUUAGCCAGACCUCAGUAAGCUCUUCUCUAUCUGUAGAGAUUGUCGCUGCUUCACUAUAUAAAACCUCCCCAUCUUCUGAGGUGCUCGCAACACAUCCUUGAGGUUUUGAUGACUCUGCAGUAUUCUCUAUACCCCUUUUAAACCAACAAUCCUUUUUGAAGUGCCCUUUUCUGCCACAGUUGUAGCAUUUCACAAUCUUCUUACUUCUUGAUUUGGACCUCCCUUGCCUUUGACUCCCACUGGAGCCACGCUCCGUUGAUCUCCCUCUUGACAUCAACAAUGCCUCUGCUUGGUUUGAACUAUUUCUGUCUCCUUUAUUUUUGCGCCUAUUUUCUUCUUCCAAGAUAGCGGCUGCAACAUCAUCAAAGACUAAAUAGUCUGUGAGGAUAUUAUUGGUCAAGUUGAUAAUGAGCUGAUCAUACGAAUCUGGGAGACUUCGAAGUAGAAGUUCUGCACGUUCACUUUCCUCUAUUUGUUGACCCAACGUAGUGAGUUGUGAAAAUAGAGUUCUUAUUGUGUUGAUGUGGUCAGUCACUGCCGUGGUUUCUGCCAUUCGAAGGGUAUAAAGUCUCCGCUUUAAGAAAAUCUUAUUGUGCAAAGACUUGGACUCAUAUAGCUUUGUUAGAGUCUCUCAUAUCUCCUUAGCUGUUUUCUUCUCCGCUACACUUGAUAAUACUUCAUCGGCUAAUGCUAAAUGUAUGUUAGCAAUAGCAUUGCCAUCCAUCUCAUUCCAUUUUGCAUUAUCAGUGAUCUCCGCGGGCCGAUCCCCAAUUGCUGCCAAGCAAUUGUCUUUCCUUAAGAUUGCUUUGAUUCUCAUUUUCCAGAGUGAGAAAUUGCUCCCAUUGAACCUCUCAAUCUCAUACUUUGCUGCCAUUUUAUUCACCGUGAUCUAUUCAGCUAUCACUGUUUCACAGAUCUGUAACGUAUAUAGAAAUAGUAUCGUGUGAAUAAUACUUCACUAAGUAAGUUCCCAGGAAAGAUUGGAGGGGUCACAAAUGGUCCCGCUUAAAACCCAAUCUCCUUAGACAGAACUUCCUAGACUGUAUUUAAUCACCGCACUGACUUUCUAUAUACGCCAACAGUAACGUAUGUGAAUAGUGCCGUAGACGUGAAUAGUAACCGUAUACACGAAUAACUUUUGUGUAUUAACAACACCAACCAAAAGGCUCUGAUACCACUAUUAGGAAACUGGCAUGCAAACCCGACAAGAUAAAAGGCAAGGGACAAGAUAAAAUGAGAAAUGAGACACACAAGAAUUUACGUGGUUCAACCAAUUUGGCUACGUCCACGGGCAAGUAUAGAAGGAUUUUACUAAGUAAUGUGGGAAUUACAACCUCUCUCUACUAAUAGGAGAAAACACCUCACUUACUCUCUCACAAAUACCUCACAAUUUUGUGGGAUUACUUUCCCUCUCUCACUCUUCUCUUCCUCUCUUAUGAUGUGCAAAAUAAGCUUGGAUGCACUGCCUAUUUAUAGGCAAGCAUCCAAGCAAAGGACAAAGGGGCACCAAUUGGUGCUGCAAGUGGCACCGAAUUGGUGCCCAACAUUGUUGAAUUUGCAGCACCAAUUUGGUGCCUAACAUUGUUGACUUUGCCAACAAUGCAGCUGGCUUCACAUAACAUAGUUUGUAUUCUGAGCCAAUCUGGGGUGGGACUUGAAACAAAUGUUGUAUAUUGUUUGCACUGUCACUUUGCUUACCCUCUUAGGUUUUUAUUGAGAUUAGGGAUUCUAUUGUAGCUCUUUUUUCUCCUUUUAUUAUAAUAAAAUAAUAUCUAUGGAUUAAUUUUGGUAUAAUUUAAGAAAGUAAGUCCUUUAAUCAAAUUUUAGAUUGACCAUCCUCUAUGUGUUAAAAGUAAAUGUUAAUUUAUAAAAUAAUAACUAUGUUUAAGUCUUGAUUAACUCAGAAGAUGUCUUCUAAGACGCAUCUCUGUCUUCUCUUCUCUUCUCUUCUUCUCUAUAAAAUUCCUUUUUAGCUCUCUGAUGUACUUAAUGUCCCGGAGGUGUGGCUUCUUCAUAUGAAGAAAAUGUUAAGAUUCAAUUAUGAUUUUAGAUUUUAGAUUCCAUUGUCUACAAAUUUGAACCAUGAUGAUGAAGCAUACGGACCAGUCAGUAGACAACAUGUUUAUUAUAUAUGAUAGAGGUCCUCAAUGUAUUUCACGUUUCUAUGAGAAAUUUCACGAGACUAUGAGUACUCGAAUUGAUCUUAGUACAACAUUUCAUUCUCAAAAUAAUGGUUAAUAAAAAAGAACCAUUCAAAUACUUGAAGAUAUGUUGAUAGCAUGCAUACUUAAGUGGAGUUUGCUGGAACAAAUAUGUACCAUUGGUGGAGUUCGUUAAGAGGGGGGAACUAAUUCCUCGAUAUAUUAGGCCUUUGGAAAUUUUGAAGAGAAUUGGUGCACUUGCUUAUGGAUUAGCUCUUCCACCCAGCUUUUUCAUCUAAACAUCCAGUAUUCCAUGUAUCCAUGCUUUAGAAGUAUAUUUGUGCUCCAUCACAUGUAUUGGAGCCAUAAACCGUAGCAUUUGAAGAAGAUAUGUCAUGUAAAAUUCGACUGGAGAGAAUUGAAGAUAGACAAAUUAGAAAACUUCGUUCUAAAGAUUGCUUUAGUGAAAGUAAUGUGAGAAGGUCAUACCUGAGAAGAUGAUACGUAAUAAAUAUCGUGAUUUCUUCAUUCAAUCAAGCUAGCAAGUUUUCUAAUUAAAUUUCGAGGGUGAAUUUAUUUUAACAGGGGAGGAAAUGUCAACCCCACCCAUAAUAUAUAACCCAUUAUUGUUUUAUUGGUCCAUUUAGGUAGCCCAUUUGUUAUAUACAGAAGGAGAGAGGUAAGGACAUUGUUAGUCAUUUUCUUCUUUCUCUCUUACGGGGAAUGUUCUUCCUUCUCCCUUUUACUGCAAAUAUUCCCCCACAAUCCUAAACCACCAAUUGACCAUAUAACUCCCUUGUUUUGAGUAGGUUUACUUCAACUUUAUCUAAGUGUUUAUAAUAUUGUUUUAGGUUUAUUUCUUUAUAUAAGCUUGUUGAAUUCUAGGCCUUAUAUGAUAUUAGUUGAUGUGAUUUGGAUUUAUUCUUAAGUUAAUUUGUGUGUGGGUAGUAACAAGUGUAUAUGAAUAUGAAUUGAAGUAAGUACCUUAACAAAUGUGAUGGGUUGGUGUGAAGCUUUGAUUAAUUGCUAUAUUUUGAUGUAAUGAGCAAAUACCUUAAGAAAUUUGAAUAUUUGAAAGAUAAUAGGUAAAUAUUGAAGAAUUGUAUAGAAAGAAUCGUAUUGAAAUUAUGGAAAAUAUGAUUUUGUCCCUAAAUUCUAAAAAACAAUUAUAGUUUGGUCACUGGUUGUAAAAACAAUUAUAUUUUCAAACUUUCAAUAUAGAGAGAGAAAUAAAAAUAAAAAGGAAAAGGAAAAGGAAACAACCCCCAGCUUUCUUGUGCCCUUUCCCUUCUUUACAUGGCUUCCUCGAUCGAUGUAAAAAAGCAAACGCCCCAUUUGAUUUUCAAGCAGUAUGAGUGAGAAAGAUAGAGAGGACAAGAGAGGACAAGGGGGUCCUCUCUCUCUUUCCUUGCUUUUUUUAACGCGUGGACCCAGCAGUUGUUGCCACCAAAUUCCUUCCUCAAUAUUUACCAGUGCUACACGCUUGAGAAAUUUCCUUGUUAUUUUUUUUAUUAAUGAAAUAUUACUUUUACCGUAUAGCCAUUGAAUUCUAGAUCAAUUUAUCGGGUAUUGGGCCGGUUUGGAUUUAAUAAUUAUGAUUCACAGACAUACAACUAGUACUUGCAACUAUUAAUAUUUAUUAUUUUCAUUAAGUUUUUCAAACUUUCAAUAUAGAGAGAAAAAUAAAAAUAAAAAGGAAAAGGAAACAACCCCCAUCUUUCUUGUGCCUCUUCCUUUUUUUUUAAGUUUAAUGUUGGUGUUUGGGUCAACUUGCACGCAUCUCGACUAAUUUCAUGGGCUCUGAAGUUAACAACUAUGUAAGUCUCCAAUGACCAUCAUAUAAACAACCACGGGGCUCGAAUUUAAAACUAUAAAAAAAACAAAUCUCUUAAUCACAUGAUCUUAUUAAUGUACCACCAUUUAGGUAGUUGCCCUUUCCCUUCUUUACAUGGCUUACCCGAUGAAAAAAGCAAACACCCCAUUUUGAUUUUCAUUCCGUACGAGUGAGAAAGAAAGACAGGACAAGGUUUGUUGAGGCUUUUUUUUUGGAACCUCGCUCUGGGAUUAAUUAGCGAGAAUAAGAAAAUUCUAUGCAAAUUAUACAAAAUUUAUUAUUAAUCAUCAAUAUUUAUUCUUAUCAUCAAUAUUGAAUAAUGGUUUAUUUUCUAGUAUAAACUAUGAUGGGUUCGUUUAUAAAAAUAAAUAAAUUGAGGUUUUUCAAUUUCCUUUAAACAUAUCAUAGUUUUAAUACCAUUUAUUUUUACAUUUUAAAAAUAAUUUUUAAAAAAAUUAAAAAUAAAUUUUAUUUUUUAUUUCAAAAUAAUAUUUUUUUAAAUAUUUUUAAAUUAUCUUGAUAUAUUGAUAUUAAAAUUAAUUUUUAAAAGAUAAAUUUUUUCAAACAUAAAGUUUAGCCUGCAGAUCUUCCGCUGAUCCCAUCUCAUUGUUGUAUGCAUCCAAGCUAAGCCAAUUCAAGAAAGAAGAUUUGAAGAAUACCACCAGCAGCAGGAGUAAUACAUUAACAUAACAGCAUUAUGGCAGAAGGAGGGACGACCUCACUGCAAGGGCGAAGGCAUGUUAAAGACUUGGGCGUGCUAUAAUUUAGAUUAAAACUUUAUUAAUAUUUUUUGAUUAGUUUUAUUUAAAAAAAUUGUAAUUCUUGAUUGAAUUAUUAAAAAAAUUUAAAAUUUAUGUGGAGCUUUCUAGAAUAACGUUUUAACUUGGAUUAAAAUUUCAGAAUAUUUUGAGAAAUUCAAAAAUUUGAUGAAAAAUCAUAAUUUAACUAAUUUUAUGUUAAUUGAUGUAAUUUUCAAUCCAACUAUCAAAUUGAGCUGAAAUUUUACGAGAAAUCUUAAAAUAUAUUAAAUAAAAUAUAAUUAAAAUUUUAUGAUGAGUGGAGCUUGAUAAUACUAACAAAAAAAAUCAUCAAAUAAAAACAAAUCAAGAAUAAAAUGAUUAUUUCCAUUAAAAAGUAAAAUAAAUCAACUAUUUAUAUAAUAGCUAAAUCUAUUAAGAUAAAUCGAAAAUAACUAGUAAAAUCAAUGACUUGUAUUGACGAGUGUGUCUAUAUAUACAUAUAGGAACUGCUGAUUCGAUUUGAAUAUGUUAUUUGAUUAGUCUAAUUCAUGAUUUGCAUUGACUCAAAAUUACCACUAGAAAUUCCUAGUUUCGUGGUGCUUUCUCAGCCUGCAAAUGAAUAUAAAGCAUAUCCUUUUAUCCUAUAUAAAGAAUACAAUUAACCUUUUUAUCUUUUAUAAUUAUAAUUAUUGCAUUGCUAAUAAUUUGCACGAAAGAAUAUUGUUUCUCUGAAAAGGGCUUGAGAAAACCCUAAGCAUAGUAUAUAAUCUCUUAUAGGAAUCUCUUUAUUAAAUUAUCAAAAUAUCAAAGUCUGUUUCCAAAGACUAUGACUACAGUUUAUAUAUAGAAACAACCAAAUAUAAAAAUUAUUAAUUUUUAAAUAGAAAAACCAGAGAGCUUGAUAAUAUUUAAUAAAAAAAAUAAAAUAGAAAAAUUAUUCCUUUUUAAGUAGAAAAAAAUUAUAAAGAUUUAAUAAUACUAAAUAAGAAAAAUUAAAAUUUCUACACUAAAUUAAAAAAACAAAAAAAAAACUGAGAAAAUAUUUAUUAUCCCAAUAGUUCUUAUAUUAAAAUCUCAUUUAUCAUAUGUUAUAUCUAUCAAAAUAAUAAUAAUAAUAACUUGUGACUUGAACUAAAGCUACAUGCGAAAACUAGAAAAACCCGGUAGAGACCCGUUCUGUUUUUUCAAAUAUGUUUUUUCUUCUAGCUAGAGACCUUUUUUUUUAAUAUAUUUUUCUAUUGGUUACUAAACCAUUUCAAAGUUCACUAUAUAAAUACUAGAAGAAUAUUUUAUUUUUUCAAUAUGGAAUAAAAAAAAUCAUUUUUGUUUACAUACCUCAAUUUAAAAGAAUUAGAUAAUAUUUUUUUAAUAUGAGAUAAAAAAACCUUUUGAAAUAAUCUUUUAAACUUUAUUAUAUGCAACAUGUAUAAUCUAUAUUCAUAUAAAUUAUUUCUUUAAUUUUUUUCAUUCUCAUAUUCAAACUUCCAAUAUUGAGAGAGAAAUUAAAAGGAGCAAAAGGAAACAACCAGUGAGGACAAUAUCCUCCAGCUCAUCAUCAGAUCCCACGAAAGGAACGCAGAAAGACAUUCCCUUUCUUGUCAUCAAGUUUUGAAUCAAAAAGUACUUUCGUGCAUUAUUGUCAUAAAGUUUUUCAAACUUCCAAUAUAGAGAGAGAAAUUAAAAGUAAAAAUAAAAAGAGCAAAAGGAAACAACCCCCACCCCAUCUUUCUUGUUCCCUUUUCCUUCAAUGAAAAAGCAAGCACUAAUGCACCUUCUCCACAAACUACCCCCCAAUUUCGCCACUAUAUAAAUAUAUUAUGGAAAACAAGAUAAAAAGAAAUCUUUCGGUACAUCUAUAUAUAUAUAUAUAUAUAUAUAUUAUGGCUAUGAAAAUAGGUUUGUGGAAAUUUACAUGGUUUGAUUUUGACAGUGUCAGAUUAGACAAUUGCAUGGAAAUGGUCUUCUUAGUUUGCCGUGUGGAAAAUCAUGUCAUUUACGGGACUGCUGGAGAGAGUUUCUAUUGAUAAUUUCACUCGAAAAGUUUUAGUAAUUUACAAAGGAAAUUUCUCCUUUAUAUGAAUUGAAAAACUAUUAUUGACUGACUUCUUGCAAAGUAUUUGCAAGAAAGCUAAAGAAUUAAAGUUUUUCAAUUUUGAAAAUUAUAAUUUAAAAUUUUUAGAAAAAAAUCAAUUAUUUUUAAAAUUGUUUUCAAAAAUACACUACCAGAAAUUCAUCUAAUACCAACGGACUUACCGACAGAAUUAUUCUGUCGGUAAAUUGCGGUGAUAAUUACUGACGGAUACUAAUCCGUCUGUAAUUCAGUUGGUAUAUACCGACGGAAUUAUUCCGUCGGUAUAUACCGACUGAAUUACAGAAGAAAGAUAUAGAAUUAAAAAAAAGCGGGGAUGUUGACGUGACAGUUUUUGCGGGCGAUUUUACCGACGGAAUCAACGAGGGAUUCAAACCCUGAUUUUGUUUAUGAGCAAUUUUGACUAUCUUAGAGGUAGAACUAGGUUCUCUUUAAUCAUAGAACUUGUAGCCUCAUGUCUUAGCUUUCUAACAAGACUAAUCUUGCUUAAAUCGGAGUUUUAUAACUCCAGAUAUAGUUAAAAAUAUGAGGAGAGGUCAGACAGUAACAGUUCAAUGUUUAGACAGUAACAGUUCAAAAAUGAGACAGUAAUAGUUGGACAGUAACAGUUCAAGAACGAGACAGUAACAGUUAAAAAAUGAGACAGUAACAGUUCAAAAAUGAGACAAUAAUAGUUGGACAGUAACAGUUCAAAAAAGGAGACAGUAACAGUUAAAAAACGAGACAGUAACAGUUCAAUGUCUAGACAGUGACAGUUCGGGAUUUAAACAGAAACGGUUCAAAUAUAUAUAUAUAUAUAUAUAUAUGUGUGUGUGUGUGUGUGUGUGUGUGUGUGUGUGUGUGUGUGUGUGAAAUGAGAAAAAUGUAAAAUAUUAAGAAAUGACUGAAAGAAAGACUUAUUGGUUGUUGAUAUGGUUAUAAUAAAACAUAUCCUUGAGUGAGGAAGUAGAGCUUCUAUUGCAGGUAGGUAAUCCGUACCUAUACUUUCUAGUUUAAUUCUAUGAUUUAAUAAGUUAUUGAUGUGAGAUGUGAAUUACCGAAUAUGGGAUAUUAGGAUAAAGGAGGAAAGUUUGCGUAAUGAUGCCGAUAUUUGGAAAGUAUUCUUAAUGUAUGUGUAUUCAAGGUGAACGGUUGUUCUGUGAAUUGCCAAGUGAUGAAAUUAUAAUUGAUAAAGAAAAUAUGAGAAGUGUGAUUUGGGGCGUGAACUAGCAUACAUUUAGUGUAUGUUAGGAUCCCGGGUAAGGGGAUCAAGAUGUAUUGGCUAGCAUACAUUUAGUGUAUGUUAGGAUCCCGGGUAAGGGGAUCACCAUGUAUUGGCUAGCAUACAUUUAGUGUAUGUUAGGAUCCCGGGUAAGGGGAUCACCUUGCAUCGACUCCUACAUGAUGAUGAUGAUGAUAACAGUGAAAUUGGUAUCGGUAAUGUGUUAAGCGGAAAUAAUCAUGGGUGGUUUUAUGAGAUCUUGAAUGGAGGUUGAUAAUAGAAGAGGAAAUGGUUUUUAGUAGUUGAAGGAGAAAAAGUCUCCAAUAAGAACCAAAAGGGAGAAGUGAAUAAAAUAUGAAUGUAUGUUGCCUUUUUAAAUUGCUGGAUAUUUGUAUUGCUAUAUUAUUGUGAUAUUCAUAUUUCAAUAAUAUGUAUUUUAUUUUCAGGACCAUCGCAUGCAUGACAGGAGUAGAUUUUGGCUUAGGUUCUUUUUUUGUAAUUUAGGUUCUAAGGAGUAUACCCUUGUAUUUGGUAAUAUUACAACUUUUAUUUAACUUAAUUUGUAUAAUUGAUGUUUAAACUUGAAUAGAUGAACUUAAUUCGGUAGUUUGUAUAACUAUGUUCCAUUAAGCAUGUUUAUAUCUUUAACCAUCCAUAAUGAUAAUUGUUGUACAAUGUAUAUCAUCAACAUUGUGGUUGAUAUGAAUGGUGAUGUUUGUGGGAUUGAGACCUAAGAUGAUUAGGCUGAAUUGAGUUGGAGAUGCGGUAUAUUAGAAGUGUAAACAGGACGUAUGUCGAUAACUUGGGACCUCCCGGUAUAGGGGAUACUCUGUUAAAAUUUCACUAGACUUUAAUGCAAAUACCAUGAAUAGAUAUAUAUAUAUAAAAUUUAGUCACUCUGUUUAUCAGCUAACAUGAGAUCGUUGCUUUAUCCCUGAUAUGGGAAUGUUACAGGUUCGAUAGAAGUCAUGGAUGAUUGUUCAUGGAUGUAUCGAGAUCCAUGUGUUAAUUUUGACAACAUGUAUUAAUUAAGAUGACAACAUGUAUUAAUUAACUAACAUAGUUAACUAAUACAUGUUUUCAUCAUAAUUUUAUAGAGGUUCGAUAAAAGUCAUGGAUGAUUGUUCAUGGAUGUAUCGAGAUGCACCCCAUGGAUUGCAGAGGAUUCUUUGAAGAAAAUUCAAAUUUUCAUGUUUUCGAUAAUAGUCUUGUUGAUGUUGACGCAGAGGAGUUGAAUGUUGUUUUGAGCUCUAACGGACAAGCAAAUAUCGAUGAAGAUGAUGAUUAUGAUGACAUCCAUAUUGAAGAUUGCGAUGGAGCUGAUGACUAUUCAAUUGAUGACGAAGAAGAAGAAAAUUCUGACUAACUAGCAGAAUCAAGGAAAGUGCAAAGCAUUUUUCUAAAAUGUAAUAUGUAUUAUCGAUGAUAUUUUGUAACAUGAAAUAUUUAUUUGAUAAGUGUUUAAGUGUUUUUGUGUGAUGGGCAGUUUGUAAUUUAAGUGUUUGUAGGAAGGUAAAUAGGCAAUACAAACAAAAGUUUUCAUGCACAGUGCACGAUCACCAACGUCCAUACCGAUGGAUUACAUUUCGUCGGUAUUGCACAGAGAGCUGUAAAAUAUUUAUUGGAAAUGCCACAAUCACCGACGACUUUGCAGAUGGAUUACCGUCCGUCGGCAUUCAACAGAGAGGUUCACUGGAAAUGCCACAAUCACUCACCGACGACUUUGUAGACAGAUUAAAGUCUGUCAGCAUUCCACAGAGAGGUUCACUGGAAAUGCCACAAUCACCGACGACUUUGCUGAUGGAGUAGAGUCUGUCGGCAUUCCACAGAGAGUGGUGGAAAUGCCACAAUCACCGAUGACUUUGCAAACGGAUUACAGUCCGUCGGCAUUGUGUCGGCAGCUCACAAUUAUCGAUAAAUUCACCAACGAACGGUGUGAAUUCCAAAGGACGGGUAAUAAAUGCAUAUCUGAUAGCGUGCAGCUGCCGACGGAAUUACCAACGAACUGCGAAAAAUAUGGAGGGUAAUUAAAAAAUUCUGGAGCAAAAUUCAAAAUUUACCGACGGAGUUAAAUGUUCGUCAGUGAAUCCGUCGGUAAAAUUACGAUAUAAAUGCCAGCGACCGCCCUUUGAGUUCAUUUUUUCAUCUCCUUUGUUUUUAGAGCUUAACUUUUUGUUUUUUUUCCCUCUCAUUUCCUUCAAAUCUCUUGUUUUUUCUUGUAAUCUCUAGUUAUAUCUUCAGCAAAUUAAAAGGUAUGUAUUUCCUCUACUUAAUUUGCUUUAAGAUUUUACUUUUUUAUUUGUUCUUUGUUUAGCAAUUGUUAUUUUUGUUAUGUUUUUUGUUUUGGUGUAUUUUCAUAAUGUAGAUAAAGUCUUACAAUAAACACAUUAUUAAGGUAAGCAUUUUUCAUUCUUAAAGUCUAUAGUUUUUUUUUUAACUUGUUCAAUAUAUUUUGUUGUUUGUUUUGCCAUAAUAAUUAGGGGUGAGCAAAUUCGGUUCGGUUCGGUUUUUAUCUAAAAAACUAACCAAAAUCAAAUUUUGAAAAACUUAAAAAUUCAAACCGGACCCAAACCGGAACCGGUUCAAACCGACCGGUUUCGGUUCGGUUCGGUUCGGUUUUUUUAUCAGGAAAACCGGAAAACCUGUAUUAUUGUUUUUUUGGGCUUUUUCGGGCUUUUUAAUGGGCUUUCUGAUGGGUUUUCUGAUGGGCUUGUAAUUAAUGUAAAUAUCAUCUAAUUUUGUUACAAAAUUCUAUAAUAUAUUUAAUAUUUUUUAUCACUAAAUAUUCAUUUAUAUUAAAUUAUUAGUGCUAAUAUUAUGUUUAAUAUGUUGCACAUCUUUCUAAUAUUUAUAUUUAGGAGUUUGGACUCCUCAUGCAUCAAAAUUUAAAUAACACACACACCAAAUUAAAAUUAAAAUUACAAAGCAUUGCCUUCAAAAUGGGCUUAAAAAAACAACAAAUAACAUUGCCAUAAAAAAUAAAAUACUUCAUGCAAAAAAUAUAAAUCUUCAUUGUGCACAUCAUCUCAAUCAAAAAGCACAACAAGAUGACAAGAACAUUGCACUUUGAUUCCGUAAUACCAUUGACAUCAAAACCUGAAAAUCAAGAUCUAAAAUUAUAACAUGAUAAAAUAAAUUAGAAUAUGUAAAAAUAAAUAGUAGUAUUUUACCAUCAAAGUAACUUUUGAACUAAUUAUCAUUUGUUACUAAAUGUAACUUUCCACCAAAUUCUACAAAAUAAAAAAUUAGACAUGUUAGAUGAUUGCAAACAAUUUAAUUAAUAAAUAACAAAAUAAAAGGUGCAAAUUUCUAAAAACAAUUACCUGACUCAAGGUUUUCGUAGGUUUCAAGAUCAUUUAUCAAGCUUCUAAUAUCAGUUGGAAUUGAUCCAUGAUGAAACCAAUUUUGACAACAAAUGAGUGCUUGAACAGUUGCUGGAGAUAGAGAACUUCGAAAUUGAUCAAGUACACGACCACCUGUGCUAAAUGCUGAUUCAGAAGCCACUGUAGAUAUAGGAAUAGCCAGAACAUGUUGUGCAACCUUUGAAAGUGUCUUAUAUUUCAAAGCAUUACUUUUUCACCAACCCAAAAUAUCUAACUUAUCAUCAUUACGAUCCUCACAACCUUCAAUCAAAUACCUCUCAACCUCAUUUUUAUUUUCCACACUAUCCACCUUCAGCAAAUGUCUUUUGAAUCGAGCCAAAGUGUUAACAUCUACCUCCACAUCAUCAAUAGCAUUAACAUCCUGUUUAUGCCUAUUAUUAUCCACCACUUCAUCAAUUUUCAAAUAAAACUCAUACAAGCUCACCAAAGUAUCUUUCACCUUAUUUGUUAGCAAUUGUGCUUUGUCAUAAUCAUACAAAUCACCAAAACAAAAUUCCACAUAUUUCAACUUCAAACAUGGAUCUAAGACAUUAGCCACAUAUAACAAAAAAUUCUGAUUUACUUCACAACCCCAAUACUUCUCAAACUUUAACAUCAUCUUCAUCGCCAUUCCACUUUAACAAGUUUGUAUGCAUGUAAAUCAAUUCAUUGAAGAAAGAAUUUGAUGUGACAUGCAAUGAGCCAGAAAAUAUCAAUGUAACCAUAUAAAAGAUCUUUAAGAACUUAACCAAAGUUCUUGCAUUUUCCCAAUCCUCCAAACUAGGUGGCCCUAUGUUUUUUUUAUUCCCCUUUGAAUCAACCUCCAAAAAGUAACUCAUAUACCUAAGUUCUCUUUCACCUAACCUCACAAAUACCUUUUCAAACUUUUCAGCAGCUUCUAGCAUAAGAUAAGUUGAAUUCCAUCGAGUUGCAACAUCUAAACACAAUGAUUUCUUACACUCUAUAUGCAACUUUUCAGCACACUUCUUAAAUGCAAGAUGCCUCAACGGUGAAGAUCUCACAAACCUAAUGGCAUUUCGAAUCUUAACAACUGAAUCAUUAAUCUCUUUCAAGCCAUCACACACAAUGAGGUUUACAAUGUGUGCACAACAUCUAACAUGCAGGUGCUCAUUUGACAAUAUAUUAGUUGGCCAAUCUUUCAUCACAUUCUUUAAAUAUGAAAUGGUCACAUUAUUAGAGCUUGCAUUGUCUAAUGUAAUAGUCAACAGUUUAUCAAUCCCCCACUCCAACAAACAAUUCUCAAUAACUUGGCCAAUUGUCUCACCCAUAUGAUUGGAAACUUGACAAAAAUUAAGAAUUCUUUUAUGCAAAUUCCAGUCAUUAUCAAUCCAAUGAGCUGUUAAACAAAUAUAGUUAAUAUUUUGGAUUGAUGUCCAUGUAUCUGUUGUCAAGCACAAUCGUUGACCCCUAAGAGCUGUCCUCAAUCUAUCCUUCUCUUCAACAUAAAGUUUCAAACAAUCUCUCAUAAUUGUAAAACGAGAAGGAAUGUCAAAUCUAGGUUGUAUAGUCCUAGCAAACAAUUUAAAUCCCCGACCCUCCACAAAAUUAAAAAGCAACUCAUCAAUUAUAACCAUCUUUGCUAGUGCUUGUCUACAUUCAUCAUAAUUAUAACCUAUUGCCUUAAGACUUCCCACAUUUUGUUCUCCCAAUUCACCCUUCUCUAUCUUAGGUUCUAAUACCAAAACCUUUUGUUUCUUAUCAAUCACAAAAGGGAACUUCUUGUACACUUUUAAAUGACUCCACAUAUUACUUGUGCCAUUAACAAUAGUAUGACAUGCAUAAUGUUUUCCACAAUAAUUACAUUCAGCUCUAGGGGUUUUAGGAUCAACAUCAAGUUUUGUAAAGUGAUCCCAAGUUUGUGACUUCUUUUUAUCAUCAGCAUUUCUUUUCCUAGAUGAAAGGACUUGAGGUUGUUUACCUUGUGUAUCUGUGGUGGAUCCUGCAUUGGUUGAUUCUACAUUAGGUUUUGAAGUUGGAGAAGUAGUUGAUGUUGGUGUAGUGCCUGUGGAUGAAGCAUUUUGAAUUUGAGUAGUUUCCAUCUGUUAUUAUAUAUGAAAACAUGUUAAAAACCAAUAAUUUAUAAUAGAUUAACAACAGUAUGACAUGCAUAAGUUCAACUGUAAUUUUAAAGAUUAUUUUCACAAGUUAAGUUCUUUUAUUUUGGUUGAUAUGUUGUAAAAACAAUUAUGUUGCUGAGUGCUGAGAUUGUAUUUUGUAAUUUCAAUAGACAAUAAUACAAUACAAUAUAUAUAUAUAUAAACAUUAUUCUCUUUUCAAUAAAUAAAAAAAAUUCAGUUUUCAGAAUUGAUAAAUUACAAUCCACCGAAUCCCCCCUCUUUUUUUUAACACAGAUAAUAAACAUUAUUCUCUGUUUUUUUAGCACACAGCAUUGACAGCACACCAUAAUAAUGGAUUAGCAAUAAUAUUUAAAACAAAUGCCUCUCGGGGAAACUGUAUUUUCCCAUUUUUCUCCCUAAUGUAAUAUCAGGCUCAUAAUACCAAUUCACCGCAUUGGUAUUGCAAGUUUUUAUCAUUUGUUUAGUAUCAUUUUCUUCUUCAGUCAUUUGGCUAUUGACAUAAUGAGAUAAUUUUUCUAAUCUUUUACCAGUACUCCACCUUAGAGUAUGAGUGGAAUUCAAUCUCUAAUGUCUAGCUAAAAGCCUAAAACGGCACAAAGAGGUUUCUUUAGUAAUGAUCAAGUUUUACCACUACCAGUGCCAAUUAUUCCCAUUUCUUUCAGUGAUGUGCUGUUAGCUUUAGCAUUUGGAACAAUCAUAACAUAUUGUCUUUCUCAUGACCAGUGCCAUUUCUACCAGUGCCAAUUAUCUGUGUUUUGUAUAUUAAAUUAACAUGCAAGAGUUUGUAUAUUAAAUUAACCCUCAUUCCGAUAUUAAUCUAGAUUCCAUUAUUUUUUCAUUGCUACUCAUGACCUUAAUAAAACACGAAUUCAUUAACAUAUUGUCUUUCUCAGCAAAGAAAAAACGCAUUGUCUCUGUCAUAAAUCUCUUCUUAAGAAGUUUAUUAAAAAAUAAACAGAAUCACAGAGCAAUAGAGCAUAUGUUCAAAAAAAAAACAGAGACAAAAAAAAAAUCAUACCUGGUGUGACACGAUUCAAGGUCGGGUGUGAGAGAGGGAGGUGACUGCCUCACUGGUUCGCUAAAUCUGGAGUUGGACUCUGGAGGUUCGGUGAGCCGGUGUGGUGUGUGUCCUACGAUUCAAGAUCAGGUGUGACCGUGUGAGAGAGGGACGUGGCUGACUGGGGUUUGAAGAUGAAGAUGGUGGCCGGUGGGAGAGGGAUGUGGCUGACUGGCGUUUGAAGAUGAAGAUGGUGGGAGAGGGAUGUGGCUGACCGGCGUUUGAAGAUGAAGAUGAAGAUGGUGGGAGAGGGAUGUGGCUGGUUGUGGUCCAGUAGAUGAAGAUGGAUUGAUUUCUUACAUAUGUGAAAUUGUGAGUUGUGAGUUGAGGGAGCGGCUUAGGAGAAAGGAGAAGGACGGCUGGAGCAGGAGUAUGGAUGCUAGGGUUAAGAAAAACAACGCGAUUUUUUUUGUAGCUAUUUAUAGUACCCCUUAAACCGAACCGGUUCGGUUCGAUUGGGGUUUUUCCGGUUUCAGGUUUCUAAAACCGAAACCGAACCGAACCAAACCAAAAAUUUUUACAAAAAAUUUAAUCGGUUUUUUUGGUUAUUUUUUUUUCGGUUUUCUCGGUUUAUUCGGUGUCUCGGUUUUUUUUCUCACCCCUAAUAAUAAUUGAACACUUUGUUGAAUUUUAAUUGUUAUUGUUGAAUUUACCUUGCAAUUAGUAAUUGAAUACACUGGAAUGAAUUUAAUUAUUUUAUCUCAAUUUUACUGUAUUUUUGCAUGAUAUGUGUUUAAUUAUUUUGUUGAAUUUUAAUUGUUAUUGUUGAAUUUACCUUGUAAUUAGUAAUUAAAUAUAUUGGAAUAAAUUUAAUUAUUUUAUUUCAAUUUUACUGUAUUUUUGCAUGAUAUGUGUUUAAUUAUUUUGUUGAAUUUUAAUUCUUAUUGUUGAAUUUACCUUGUAAUUAGUAAUUGAAUAUAUUGGAAUGAAUUUAAUUAUUUUAUCUCAAUUUUACUGUAUUUUUGCAUGAUAUGUGUUUAAUUAUUUAGUUGAAUUUUAAUUGUUAUUGUUGAAUUUACCAUGUAAUUACUAAUUGAAUAUAUAAGAAUAAAUUUAAUUAUUUUAUCUCAAUUUUACUCUAUUAUUACAUGAUAUGUGUUUAAUUAUUUCCAUUAAUUUUAAUUGUUAUUUGUAUAGAUGUUAGGUUAUAUGUAAGAUUUUUGAAUGGGGGUCAAUUGGUUGUGGCUAUUGUUAAUAUUUGAAGGUUUGAAAACUUUGGGUAGUCUCCAGUAUAGAAGAGACGCUGCUGAAUUUUUUUUAACAAUCGAAUUUAAUUAUAUAAUUAUUCUUAUAAAAUUGCGUAGAUGUGUAUAAUGAAAUCAACUGUUCGUCGCUCACAUAUGGUCGCAGCUAGUUCUUCUAGCAGCAAGAAUGACAUUUCCUUAGGUGUCAAUCAAGAAGAGGUACCUGCACCACCUACCGAUGCUGCCUCUUGCAGCACGGUUUCACAGCGCAGAGACGGCGUGCCUUCACAGUGGAAUCAAUUUACUUACAAGUACGAGGCACAAUGGAAGAACGAUGUUUCAAUGUAAGUUUGUUUUGAUUUUAGUUUUUUUUUUAAUUAUAACAUAAUUUAUGAACAACUAAUCAAUAUUUCAUUAAUUUAAUUUAUUUUCAGGUUCACAAACAUUGAGACCGUCCGAGUAAUAUCAUCGGCGUUUAAAUCGUCGAUGGAGAUUCCAUUAUUUCAAUGGAGUUAGGUAUCCAGACAUCCUGAAUGGAUACCUAAUAUCGAUGCAUGGUUUGAUAAAUUUGAGGUUGGUGUUAAUUUCUAAUUUCCAGCUUAUUUUUAAUAAAUUAUUAAUAUAAUUAUAAAUAAAUUAUUAUUUUUAUUUUAAAUAAAUUAUGUAUACGUGGCACAAAUUCGAGUAGGACAGCACACAUGAUAAUAUUGUGAGGAGGGUGUGGGAAAAUCAUGCGGCAACUAAGUAACAUCGAAAACAAUAUGAUAUUUUUUAAAAAAAAAAUAUGUUUUAAAAUCUAAUUUGUUACUAUGGAAGUAGGUUGUGUGAUUUUUGGUAUGAAGCACAAAAAAAGGUAAAAAAAAAAAAAACACGAGAGAUAGAGGUCUCCAAGGCUAGAACGACGUGGCGGUUUGGGGGGAUUUCAAACCGCUACACAUCCCGGAAAAUAUUUGGCCGGAAUAUAUUGAGCACGUGACGUCUGAGCGGUUCACACGACGCUCAAAGUCUGGUGCUGACAACCGGAACAGGCAAAUUCAUGGUUCACUGACAACGCACAUCGACGGCUCCGUAUCGUUUGCUACACAUGCAAAACGGAUAUAAGAUUAAUUUAAAUGAAAUAUAUCGUUAAAUAAUUUGUUGUUACUUAAUUAAUUUUUUUUCUUACAGGCUACGUCUCUUGGACGUGAGCCGAGCCCAAUGGAGCUGUUUGUAGAGACGCACAUGCGGAGUCAAGACCGCCAAAAGGGGGUGCAACAGUUCGUUGACAACCGCGCUCAACACUUUGUGGUAUGUUCGUUCAACCAUUUUAUUUCGUAAGUUAUUAUUUUUAUUGAAUUGAAUAUGAUGAUUUUUUUUUAUUUUCAGGAUACCUAUAAUAGUCGUUGAGGGAGAGAUAUAGGGACGAUCCUUCAAUCCAUCCGGAUUUCAAUCCGGAUUUGUGGAUGGCGGUAGGAUCGUCCGGUGGACUCGAUAAAAAUCAGGUGUAUGGGCUCUCCAACACCACGGCCGAGAACUUGCGAGCGGCCAGUAGUGCCUCAACCGUUGGGAGCUCCCAAUCUAAGGAGUCCGUGGCCUUGCAGCAACACACGAGUCAUCUCACCGAGAAAUACGAGCAACUCUCGACGAAUUAUGAACUUCGCCAAAUUAUCAUGAACAUGACAUCACAGAGUGACUUUAUGGUCUCGGGAAAAACCAGCCUCCUCCUCCUCCUCCUCCUCCAGCCCCGCCAUUCUGCUAAUUUAAUAUUUUUUUGGAAACACAUUCAAUUUGUAAUGAAUAUUAUUUAACUUUAUUUUUUUAUUUUUGAUGUUUAAUAAAAUUUUAUUUGCAUAAUAGUUUUUUUUACUAUUAAUUUACAUAUUUUUAUAUUAUUUAUUCUAAAUAAUUUUUUAAAAAACAAAUUUAAAAAACCCCACCAACAGAAUUCAUCCGUCGGCAUUUUACAGAAAGUUGAAAGAUAUUUACUAAAAAAGGCCACAAUCACUGAUGUCUUCACAGACGGAUAGUGUCCGUUGGCAUUUUACUUAGAAUCAAAAAAUAUUUACUGGAAAUACUAUAUUCACUGAUAUUUUCACAGACAGAUUUAUUUCGUUGGUAAAUACCGAGAGUUCAAACAAUGACUUGCAUUGACGAGUGUAAUAAUCUGGAACCACUCGCAAUAAAUAAAGCCACAAAAGGCAGACGAGAGUGUCUAUAUAUAUACAUAUAGGAACUGCUGAUUCGUGGUGCUUUCUCCUGCAAAUGAAUAGAAGACGAGUGUGUCUAUAUAUAUACAAAUAGGAACUGCUGAUUCGUGGUGCUUUCUCCUGCAAAUGAAUAGAAAGCAUAUCCUUUUAUCCUAUAUAAAGAAUACAAUUAACCUCAUUUCAAUAUCCUUGCUUUACUCUUCAGCUAACUUCUCUCUCCCAUUGCUGAAAUUUCAUAGCUAACUCUUUGUUAUAUAGAGGUAUAUAUGGCUAACUCUUCUUUGCUUCUUUCGUGUUUUAAUUUCAUGUCUUUACCAUUAACAAUAAUGUGAAAGCUUUGUUUGUUUCAUGUUUAACUUCAGUUGCUAUUGUCUUAUGCUCUCUCAUUAUUAAGCUUAAACUGUUGUAUCAUCUUCGAUGAUCUUGACAUGUAUCUCUUACUUGUAUUAGCAAGAGAGUAGAUACCUUCUGCAAUUGCUCCAUUGCUAAUUGACUGUGCCUUGAUUUCUGCAGCUGCCAUGACAGAGCCGGAGUCUUCUCGAUCUAUAUCACUAGGGGCCUAUGAUGUCUUCUUGAGUUUUAGAGGAGAAGACACUCGCAAGACAUUUACAGAUCAUCUCUAUACUGCCUUGGUCCAAGCAGGAAUCCACACUUUUCGAGAUGAUGAUGAACUUCCGAGGGGAGAAGAAAUCUCCGAUCAUCUCCUCAGGGCAGUUCAAGAAUCGAAGAUAUCCAUAGUUGUCUUCUCAAAAGGAUAUGCUUCUUCUAGAUGGUGUCUCAAUGAACUUGUAGAGAUUCUGAAGUGCAAAAAUAGGAAAACCGGUCAGAUUGUUCUUCCUAUAUUCUAUGACAUUGAUCCUUCAGAUGUGAGAAAACAGAAUGGCAGUUUUGCAGAAGCAUUUGUUAAACAUGAAGAGCGUUCUGAAGAGAAGUUGGUGAAGGAGUGGAGAAAAGCUCUUGAGGAGGCUGGAAAUCUAUCUGGACGGAAUCUCAAUGAUAUGGCAAAUGGGUAUGCCUUUUUCCCAAAUUUAUGGAGUCAAUAUACUUUACAUUUUUCAAUGUGAAACAAUAAAAUGCUUAAUUGACUCGCUAUCAAUGACUGCCUUUUGUCUAUGAGCAGGCAUGAAGCAAAAUUUAUCAAAGAGAUUAUCAAGGAUGUGUUGAAUAAAUUAGAUCCCAAGUACUUGUAUGUUCCUGAGCACCUAGUAGGUAUGGAUCGGCUUGCUCACAAUAUUUUUGACUUUCUAAGUACUGCAACCGAUGAUGUACGCAUUGUGGGCAUACAUGGGAUGCCAGGAAUCGGAAAGACAACUAUAGCAAAAGUUGUAUUUAAUCAACUCUGCUAUGGAUUCGAGGGAAGCUGUUUUCUUUCGAAUAUCAAUGAAACACCAAAAAAACUUACAGGUCUUGUUCGUUUACAAACGCAACUUCUUCGUGAUAUUUUAAAACAAGAUGUUGCAAACUUCGAAUGUGUUGAUAGAGGAAAGGUUCUGAUCAACGAACGAAUUCGUCGCAAAAGAGUUCUUUUUGUUGCUGAUGAUGUGGCUCGUCAGGACCAGCUAAAUGCUUUGAUGGGAGAGCGAAGUUGGUUCGGUCCGGGAAGUAGAGUAAUUAUUACAACAAGAGAUUCAAAUCUUCUUCGUAAAGCGGAUCAAACAUAUCAAAUUGAAGAAUUGACACGAGAUCAGUCCCUUCAGCUUUUCAGCUGGCAUGCCUUUAAGCACUCCAAGCCAGCAGAAGAUUAUAUUGAGCUUUCGAAGGAUGUAGUUGAUUACUGUGGAGGACUUCCUUUGGCUCUUGAGGUUAUGGGUGCUUGUCUGUACGGGAAAAACAGAGGUGGUUGGAAAUCUGUAAUUGACAAAUUGAGAAGAAUUCCAAACCACGAUAUUCAAGGAAAGCUUAGAAUAAGUUAUGACUCACUGGACGGUGAAGAACUACGAAAUGCAUUCCUUGAUAUCGCUUGCUUCUUUAUUGAUAGAAAGAAAAGGUACGUCGCAAAAGUGCUAGGAGCCCGUUGCGGUUACAAUCCAGAAGUUGAUUUGGAAACUCUCCGUGGAAGGUCUCUGAUUAAAGUUAAUGCCAUUGGAAAGAUAACCAUGCAUGAUCUAUUACGAGACAUGGGAAGGGAGGUUGUUCGUGAAACGUCUCCAAAAGAACCUGGAAAGAGGACCAGAAUUUGGAACCAAGAGGAUGCAUGGAAUGUACUUGAGCAGCAGAAGGUACGUAAGAGCGCAAUGCAUACAUGAAAGCAUAGUCAUGCGUAUUUUCUAGUCAAACUUAUUACAAAUAAUUGUAUGAAAGUUGGAUUGAUUUUUUUUUAGGGUACGGAUGUUGUAGAGGGUCUUGCACUGGAUGUAAGAGCAUCAGAAGCUAAAUCACUGAGCACAAGAUCAUUUGCAAAAAUGAAACGCUUAAAUUUACUCCAAAUCAAUGGAGCACAUCUCACCGGAUCCUUCAAACUGCUUUCUAAAGAGUUGAUGUGGAUUUGUUGGCUUCAAUGUCCUUUGAAAUAUUUUUCAUCUGAUUUUACCUUGGAUAAUCUGGCUGUUCUUGAUAUGCAAUACAGUAACCUCAAAGAACUAUGGAAGGGACAAAAGGUGUGAAACAUUCUACAAUCCCCAAAAUUUCUCCAGUAUGUAAUUUAUAUUUACAUGUUAUGACUUUCUAUGAUUAAUUUUCAUUAUUUUGCCCUCUAUUAAGACAGAUUCUCAACAGGUUAAAAAUCCUCAAUCUCAAUCAUUCUAAGAACCUUAUUAAAACACCAAACUUGCACAGUUCAAGUCUAGAGAAACUAAAGUUGAAAGGUUGCUCGAGUUUAGUUGAGGUGCAUCAAUCAAUUGAAAAUUUGACAAGCCUUGUUUUCUUGAAUCUGGAGGGAUGUUGGAAUCUGAAGAUUCUUCCUGAAAGCAUUGGCAAUGUAAAGUCUCUUGAAACUUUGAAUAUUUCUGGGUGUUCACAACUUGAGAAAUUGCCAGAAUGCAUGGGUGAUAUGGAAUCCUUAACCGAGCUGCUAGCAGAUGGGAUUGAAAAUGAGCAAUUUCUCACUUCAAUUGGACAAUUAAAGCAUGUCAGAAGGUUAUCGUUGUGUGGAUACAGUUCGGCUCCACCAAGUUCUUCUUUGAAUUCAGCAGGUGUUUUGAAUUGGAAACAGUGGCUGCCAACAUCUUUUGGAUGGAGAUUAGUGAAUCAUCUUGAGCUUUCUAAUGGUGGUUUGUCUGAUCGCACAACUAACUGUGUUGAUUUCAGUGGUUUGUCCGCUCUAGAAGUAUUGGAUCUAACAAGAAACAAAUUCUCUAGCCUGCCUUCUGGGAUCGGCUUCCUUCCCAAGCUAAGGCGGUUGUUUGUUCUGGCAUGCGAAUAUCUUGUAUCAAUCCUAGAUCUUCCCUCAAGUUUAGAUUGUUUGGUUGCAUCUCAUUGCAAAUCAUUGAAAAGAGUAAGAAUACCAAUCGAGCAAAAAAAAGAUCUAUAUAUAGAACUACAUGAAAGUCAUUCGUUAGAAGAGAUUCAGGGCAUCGAAGGUCGAAGUAAUAGUUUCUGGUAUAUUUGUUCUAAUCAGUUCAGUCAUUCACCAAAGAAAUUACAGAAAAGCGUUGUUGAGGUACUAUUUCUUUCAGUCUCUUUUGCACACGAAGAAACACACAAUUGGUACAUACAUUGAUUAAUGUCUAAAAUCUCAGCAUUUCUUGAAAUCAAUAUGUAUACAGGCAAUAAUCAUCAUUAUUAUUAUUUUAUUUUAAAAAAUAAAUAUGUUUAAUAAUAUUUUUUAUUUUUCUUAUUUAAUCUAAAAAAUUAAAUAUUAUCUUUAAUAAUAUGUUUUUAUUAAAUAUUUAAAGUCUGAUUGGUUUUAUUUUUUAAUUAUUUCUUGAUUUUAUGAUAAUAUACAGGUAAUGUGCAACGGUCGUCACCCGUAUCGUAUUUCCCCCAUUCGUGGUGAGAUGCCAAAUUGGAUGAGCUGCAGUGGAGAAGGAUGUUCAUUGUCAUUCCAUAUACCUUCAGUCUUCCAAGGCUUAGUUGUUUGGUUUAUCUGUCCACUUGAACCCGUGACAAUUGAAUUCGAUUCUCGCAUUAUUAUUAUUAUAAGAAAUAAAAGCAAUGGUAUUCAAUUGUUUGAAGAUAAACGAACACCAGGAACUGACAUGUUUUUUAUUGAGGGAUUCAUAAGAUACAUAAGUAUAAGUGAAAUGGGAAUGGAAGAUUACUGUGGAGAUGACGAAUUGGAACUCUGCAUUUAUUCAGAGCCAACAGAGCAUGCGGUGCGCCGUCUUCCAUUCUACCCCGUACACAUUAAAGAAUGUGGGGCCCAUGUGAUCGCAAAGAAGUUAAAUUCAUUUGAAGAGUCGGCAAUGGGAAGAGCUACAGUGAUGCCUUCACCAUCGCUGUAUCAUCUGCUUCCUCAUCCCCAUUGUGGUUCAAUUACAGCAUCUACACCUAAGCAAUGGAGUAAUUAUUUAUUUGCGAAGCUGCAAGAAUAUAACCUCAGUUUAACAUUUCAUGGUAAGAACAAAUAUUUCCUUUAGUUAUUUUUAUUCUAUUAUAUUUAAUUUAUGAGAUUAAAUAUUAUCUUUAAUUAUUUCAUUAUUAUUAUUUAAUCUAAAACAUUAAAUAUCAUCUUUAAUUAAAAAAUAUAUAUAUAUUUAAGGCUUUUUGGUAAGAAUACAUAUUUCCUUUAGUUAUUUCUAUUUAAUUUAAGAGAUUAAAUAUCAUCUUUAAUUGUUACAAUAUUUUUCUUAUUUAAUCUAAAAUUUUAAAUAUUUUCUUUAACAAUAUUUUUUAUUAAAUAUUUAGAGUCUACUUGGUUUUAUUUUUUUUCUUGAUUUUAUGAUAAUAUUUUUCUUAUUUAGUAUAAAAAAUAAAUAUUAUCUUUAAUAAUUAGAUCUAUCGAAUAUCACUUAAAAAAUAAAUUAUAACUUUAAUAAUUAUUUUUUGAAAAACAAAAAGCCAACAAUCACUAACAUAUUUUAUUAAAAUCACUUUAGUUUAUUUAGAAAAUAUUGAAAAUUGAUUAUUUUUUUUACAUUAAAAUAAAAAAAUUAAAAAAUGUUUUUAUAUUUUAUUUCAAAGUCGAUAUUUUAAAACAAAAAUGAAAAAGAUGUGAUAUUAACCUUUUUUAUUAUAAAGUAAGUUUUUUAAUUAAAAGUGAUGAGAAUUUGUUCGUAAUAACAAAAUGCAUGUUUAAUUUUCUUUUCAAACUUGGAAUAUAUUUCUAUUGAAUUUGAUGGUUUUUUUAUCUUAAAACACUUGCCAGCAAUCUUGUUUUUUCAAUGCUGCCAUUUAGCAAGUGGAGUACUGUAGCUUUUCCACAUACAUUGAAUAAUAACAGUUUGAAUAAAUAACAAGAAAAUAGAAAUUAGUUUUAUUAAUUUGAACGGUACAUCAUUCAUCGAAUAAAUUACAAAAAAGUAUUAUUGAGAUACUAUUUUUUUCAGUUUCUAUUGCACCAAAAUAAACACAUAUAUUUGUCACAUAUAUUAAUUAAUAUCAAAAAUCUCUGUAUUCCUUGAAAUCAAUAUGUAUACAAGUAAUAAUCAUUAUUAUUUUAUUUUAUUUUAAAAAAUAAAUAUCAUAUUAAAUAAUAUUUUUUAUUUUUCUUAUUUAAUUUAAAAAAUUAAAUAUUAUCUUUAAUAAUAUUUUUUAUUAAAUAUUUAAAGUCUGAUUGGUUUUAUUCUUUAUUUCUUGAUUUUAUGAUAAUAUAUUUAUACAGGCAAUGUGCAACGGUCGUCACCCGUAACGUAUUGCUUCAUUUCGUGGUGAGAUGCCAAAUUGGAUGAGCUACGGUGGAGAAGGAUGCUCCUUGUCAUUCCAUAUACCUCCAGUCUUCCAAGGCUUAGUUGUUUGGUUUGUCUAUCCACUUGAGAAGGAUUGUCAUAACCUAUUUUUAGGUUAUUUUUCAAUAUAUAUAUUUUUUUUUCUUCAAAAAAAUUACAAAAAAAAUCUAAAAAUAUUAUAAAAAAUAUAACAGUAAAAAGAGGAUGUCAGAACGCUCAGAAAAUAGUUAAAAUUUGGUUGAGGAGGUUUAAAAAUAUAAAAAUUAAAAUUUGGUAGUAUUUUAUUAACUGAUGAUAGCCCUGUUGACAAAGAAAAUUCAAUUUGAGAAAAAAAAAGUCUAAAAUCAGAUGUUGAGGGACUCAAUUAAAUUAUAUUGAAAGUUUAAUUGAAUUUAUGGAGGGUUUGAUUGUAAGAAAAAUUGAUUUUGGAGUUAAUUUGGGCUUUAAUUGGAAGAAAUUAAAGUUCUGGGGUCAGAUUAUAUUUUUUUUUAGAGUUGAUUUGGUCAAAUUGGGGGCUUAAUUGCAUAAAUAUUAAAGUUUGAUGGCCAAUCGGGGACUUAAUUGAAGAAAUCUGAGACCAAGGACCAAAAUGCAAAACGCGCGCAAAUUGAAGGAUUGAAUUGAAAUCUAGCGCUUUGGCUCCAAUUUUCAUUUAAAUGAAACAGUGCGUUUUAAGCAAAACGACGUCGUUUCAUGCACUUUCCAAAAAAAAAAAAGAGGACGAAACGGUGCCGUUUUGAGGCGGCACUGUUUCUUCUUCUUCUUCCCCUGGACAUGCAGCAGGGGAAGAGGCGUUUUUGUUUUCUUCUCUUUGUUUCUUCCUCUCCCUCCCCAUGUGCUCUGUUACAACCAAAACCGGUCGCCACUUGCCUCAUGAUGAGAUGCCAAAGCAGUCGUGCCCCGCAAGCGACGCCUCCAUUGGCCACCUCUGUCGGCGCCGUGACAGAGCAGGAGACGUGCGACGCAUGCAUGGGCAACGAUGGGACGGGGCAGGGUCGACCCCGCUCCCCUUGCCCCUAUAAAUAGUGACCCGAAAGGAGAAAAAAAGGAACACGGGAGAAAACAGGGAGGGAAACCGAGAGAGAGAAAUCGAUAGUGUUGAGAGAGAAAUGACUGAAACAGUAGAAACCAAAAAAACCGGGGAUAUCGAUAGGGAGACCGAGAGAGACAGACGGGGAGAAGGAAGAAAAAGGACAAAAGAGGUAAACCGAUGGGGAAGAAGACACUGACUGGUGUCUCUACACAGCGGAGAAGAAGCGCCGCUGCUGGCAUUGGGCUUCACAGUCACCGCCACCGCAACACCACCGAGAACGUUCACCAGCAUCACCGUCAGCUCAGCCAUCCGAGAUCACCACCUCAGGUAAAUUCUCUUCCCCUCACGCCGAUAAUUAUUCAUCUUCUUGCUUGUAGAACGUGCACUGUGCACGUUCUGCAUGCAAGAAGAAAUAAUUAGUCGGUUACCGUGCAUGCGCACAGUAACCGGCUAAUUAAUUAACUAGUUACUGUGCUCAUGCAUAGUAACUAGUCAUUGGUUUCUUCUUCUGCGAGUUGGAACAUCAGCCCAGCCCACGCGACUGGGCUGAGUCCAACCCCCUUUUUUUUAUGCGGGCUGGAACAUCAGCCCAGCCCACGCGGCUGGGCUGAGUCCAGCCCUGUUAACUGCGGCCUGGAACAUCAACCCAGCCCAUGCAGCUGGGCUGAGUCCAGCCUUGUUGCUGGGCCAAUACAGGCCCAACCCAGUUCAUUUCAUUUUUUCUUUUUUCCUUUUUGUUUUGUGUUUUAUAUAUAUAUAUUGUGAUUUUCCCACGGAUUUUUCUACGUCAUUUUAACUAAUAUUGGUCUAUAUUUUUUACUCGGUUUUCAAAAAAAAAAACUUUUGCUUUCAUGCAUACGGCCAAGUCUCUCAAAGCUAAAAAAUCAUAUUGUAUUUUUAUACAACAAAGAAAACUAAAAAAAUAUAUAUUAUUUUAGCAUGCAUUUUAGCUUUAAUAACCAGUUUAUUAAAGUCAUGAUAACUUGGCCAAUAUUUCAAAAAAUCAAAAAAAAUAUUUUGUUUUGUUUUAAUGUCUGGGAUUACGAAUUUAUACGUAAAACGUAUUCCCGAUAUUAAAAAGGUAGUUCUUUUAUAGACAUUAGGCCGGUUAGAUUUUUACCCCAUAAGAUAAGAACCUCCUUACUGAGGAGGGCUUUUCUUGAACCCUAGACAGACCAACAUGAUAAGACCUUAGAUUUUUUAUUAGACAAUAAAACAAUGCAGCUUACCUUAGGUAGGGUGUAUUUGAGGUGCUAAUACCUUCCCUUUGCGCAACCAGUCUCCGUACCCGAUCUCUAAGACCAGUUAGGGUUCCUAGUGAUCAGAAUACUAGGUGGCGACUCUCAUUCCAUUUUUUCACCGCUAAGAGACAAAGAAUUCCUUGUUUUACCAUAUUUUCCAGAAUAGAUAGACAUACCACAUUUGAUGAUGAGGGUGGUGGAUGAUCGCCGCACACGUGCGAUAGAAUGGUGACUCCACUGGGGACCCAUCAAAUCAAUCAACAGAAAAAAAAAUCACCAAGCCGAUGCCGCGCGGGUGACAUGCGACAAGGAUGAUCAUUAUUACUCACGGUCUGGCACUAUUAUUAUUAUUAUUAUUAUUAUUAUUAUUAUAAGAAAUAAAAGCAAUGGUAUUCAAUUGAUUAAAGAUAAACGAAUAGUAGGACCUUUCCUACCAAAAACUGCGGGAUGGAUAAGAUACAUAAGUAGAAGUGAAAUGGAAAAUGGAAGAUUACUGUGGAGAUGACGAAUUGGAACUAUACGUAUAUUCAGAGCCAAGAGGAGAUACAGUGCGCAUCAUUAAAAAAUGUGGGGUUCAUGUGAUCGCAGGGAAGUUAGAUUCAUUUGAAGAGUCGGAAGUGGAAAGAGAUAUAAUGAUGCCUUCACCACCGUUGUAUCAUCUGCUUCCUCAUCUCCAUUGUGGUUCAAUUACAGCGUCUACACCUAAGCAAUGGAGUGACUAUUUAUUUGCGAAGCUGAGUAAAUAUAACCUCAGUUGAACGCUUCAUGGUAAGAACAAAUAUUUCAUUUAGUUAUUUCUAUUUUAUUCUAUUUAAUUUAAGAGAUUAAAUAUUACCUUUAAUUAUUUCAUUAUUAUUAUUUAAUCUAAGAAAUUAAAUAUCAUCUUUAAUAAAAAAAAUUAUUAAAUAUUUAAGGCUUUUUGCUAAGAAUACAUGUUUCCUUCAGUUAUUUCUAUUUUAUUCUAUUUAAUUUAAGAUAUUAAAUAUAAUCUUUAAUUAUUUUAUUUUUCUUAUUUAAUUAAUCUAAAAAAUUAAAUAUGUUCUUUAAUAAUAUUUUUUAAAAAAUAUUUAGAGUCUGAUUGGUUUUAUUUUUUAUUUCUUGAUUUUAUAAUAAUAUUUUUCUUAUUUAAUUUAAAAAAUAAAUAUUAUCUUUAAUAAUUAGAUCUAUCAAAUAUCACGUAAUUAAUUAUAUCAUUAUUUUAUUGGUAGCAACUUAGGAGUCUUUUAAGCCAAAAGAAUAAUAGCUAGGAAGAGCUAAAAUUAGCAAGGAAUAUUUAGAGUCUGUUUGAUUUUAUUGUUUUUCUUUGAUUUCUUAAUAAAAAAAAUCAAAUUCUUGAAAACAAAAAUUGAAAACUUAUACGUUUUGAUUUUGAUUUUAUUUUUGAAAAUGAAAAGCCACCAAUCAAUAGCAUAAUCUAUUAAAAUCACUUUGUUUUAUUUAGAAAAUAUUGAAAACUGAUUUUUUUUACAUUAAAAUAAAAAAUUGAACAAUAUUUUUAUAUUUUAUUUCAAAUUUGAUAUUUUAAAACAAAAAUGAAAACGAUGUGAUAUUAACCUUUUUUUUAUUAUAAAGUAAGUUUCUUAAUUAAAAGUGAAGGUGAUUUGUUUGUAAUAACAAAAUGCAUAUACAAUCAUGCAAAAGUUGUAUUUAAUCAACUCUGCUAUUGAAUUUAAUGGUUUUUUAGGGAACAAAUGAUAUGGAUGAAUGUGAGAGCACAAGAUCAUUUUACAAAGAGAUUGAUUGGUACUUAAAAAUAUAUUUUUAUUAAGGUUUUAUAUCAUCAUAUUGCAUUUAAAGUAUAAUUAAAUUCUCUAAUUUAAGCAUAUUUUAUAAUAACAAGUCUGAUAACAUAAAAUAUAUUUAAUUUAUGGUAAAUGCUCAUUUUGAAUGCAGGCAUAUCUCACAAUUUAAAGGAUUGAUUGAUGUGUUUAACUAUUAAAAGUGAAAAGACAAAAAGAAGGCUAAGCUUAAAGAAGAAAUGUUGGUUCAAUUCAAACUGGAAUAUCAUUAUGUUAUUGAAUCAUAACUAUAGCUAUAGAACAUGGAUUUAGGUUUGGUUUAUAUGGAUGGAAAGCUAAGACAUAGGCCUAAAACUUUCAUGAAGAGUUCAAGAUUCAAAACGGCCCUUUUCAAGUUCAAAUUAUAGCAACAAAAGAGAAGUCGAAAUAUGACUUGUAACCUAGACACUGUUCAGUGUUCAGCCCAUAUCUCGAGUUCUAGAAGUUCAAAUAAUCUCAUUCUUGUUUUGUUGGAAAACUGAGACAAAUGCCCAGAAGUUUCAUGAAGACUAUCUGUUCAAAUUUUGAUGUUAGCAUGUUGUGUUCAGACAAGAAGAUAAUGGUUGUCACCAAGUCAAUAGGUGGCCACCCACUUAAUAAUUAGUCAUUAAAUCAAUAGUUCUGAAUUUUGGACUCUAAAAGAAGGCAUUUGCCAUACAUUUAGACAUCUUGGUGUUCAGAUCAAGAUCUUGCUCUCACUCUCUCUAUUUGUAUUUUGUAAUGUUCAAGUUUUAUUUUAUGUUAUAUUAAUCUCUUAUUUAUGCUUUUCAUUUCUUUUACUAUACUUAGUUAACUUAUAUCAUGUUUAUGUUAUUAUGUUGUUUAUUUAUGUUUUUCUUCUUCAUGAUGUUUAUCUAAGUUAAUUUUGUCAAGGUGAAAAGGGUACACUAAUGGUGUAAGAAUAAGUAUAAUACAAACUCCACAUAGACUUUAAUGUUUAAUACUAACAUGUUUUGUAUUUGUUAUCUUACUCACUCUUUAUACCUUACUUGUUAAAUGGUUAAUCUAAAUUUAUGUUGUACAACCCUUGGCAUAACAAAUACUUGACACUUUCAUAACCUACUGUAUGGUAUAAUCAACACUUGUGCUAUGAAAGGAACUUGAUUUAUUGUUAACAUAAAUUAUCAUCAUGAAUACCUGACCACAUUUACAAGUAUUGGCAUUACUCAAAUAAGAUAAUUAAUAUAAUCAUGUAUGUGGUUUCUAGUUGAGUAAUAAAAAGAGUUUAUACUAUACUUAUUUGAAAUACCUCUAACUUUAACAAUUGUUUUAUCCUUGUUUAAUCCUUACAUCAAUAUCACAUUUCAAAAGUUCUCUUCAACUCCUUUUUAAUUGUUGUUUAUAAUUUUAUAUAAUUCAUCUCCCUGUGUUUCAACCCCGGUCUUGCCGGGUUAUUUAUUACUUUGACACUCCUGCACUUGAUAUAAGACAUCAAUCUCUUGAUCGUGUUAGAGAUGCUUGAAGUUACUCUUUAUUGGUAUGGUAGUUGUUUCUAACGAGUUGAUAAGUAUUUGUUAGCUUGAAGAUUAUUUUCCAAACUUGGAAGUUAUAUUGAAUGCUUUUUGAAAUCUUUUCCAUCCGAUUUGAAAUUGGACAACCUAAUUGUUAUUAUCCAUUAUGUAAUUUAUAUUUUCAAGUUUCAACUUUUGAUGAAUAUUGUAUUGAAUGCUCUUUGAAAUCUUUUCCAUCCGAUUUGAAAUUGAAAAACCUAGUUGUUAUUAUCCAUGACGUAAUUUAUAUUUUCAAGUUACAACUUUUGAUGAAUAUUGUUUCCUUUUUUUCUCACUUCUUGGAAGUAUUCUCAAAAAGAUGAAAAUCCUCGAUCUUAGUUAUAAAUAAAUUGGUUUUCUAGGAAGAGAUUAUUAGGUGGGAUAUAUUAUUUGAGUUGGUUCUUCAUCAUUUAAUGUUAUGAUUUAAGAUAAUUGAUGAAAACUACCAAUACACAAGAAUGUUUAGAAAGCAUCUUUAAUUGGUCUAAUAAGUAAAGUCUUGUUAGUUUUGGCCAUAAGCUAUGUAUUAUUGCUUGUUUUUUACUAUUUUUUUACCUUUUUUGUUUUUUGUAUAUACAACUUUUGUUUUUCUUGCGAGUUUCUCAUUAGCUUUAUGGCACUAACAUCAAUUAAUAAUAAAUCUUGGACUAUUAUUAAAUAAAAAAAAACAUAAACAUUGUUAAAACACCAAACUUGCAUAGUUCAAACCUAGAGAAACCCUAUGCCAAUAAUCUAAUUUAAAAAAAUAAUUAAUUUAUCCUUGUAGUCUUAGAAAAUAGUAUUUAAUCCUUAUGUUUUUACAUUUAUCUUUGAUUUAACCUUUUACAUCUAUUUCAUCUUAUUAUUUUGGUUUACUAAGUAAAGUCUUAGAAACCUAUUUAUGGUCUUAAACAACUUAAAAAGGCUCAAAAACCUAAAAUGAACUCAAACCUGAAAAUCUUCAUGCUGAGAGGUCUGUUUCAUCAAGCAAGGAAAAAGAAAAAAAAAACAUAGGUGAAACUUCCCUCAUCAAAUAAAAUCCAAUGACACUAGGAUUGACUAUUUUGGUGGCUAGAAUAGAAGUCAACGAUAACAUUUUCUUUCCACGUCGGAAUCUAGCAAGUUUCUCUCUUCUCUCACAAAAAAAAACUAAAAAAUAAGGAAAAUAAAGUUUGGUAUUAAAAUCAAAUUUCCGACAACUAAAGAGACCAAUCACCUAUUAACUAAAAACAAUUGGGGACCGAACUAAGUUUUUCAUAUGAAAUAUGAAGUUGACAUCUAUUUUCUCCAUGUUUUUUACUUUGGUUAUCUAUCUUUCAAUCCAACCCUUUCUUCAUAAAAAUAGAAGUAACUUUGUAUUAAUUUGGACUAAAAAAGGUACAAUAGUGCAAAAACAAAUUGAGGAUCAAAUUGAGAAUUAAAAAAUAAUUGAUUAUUUUAAUCUAUAAUGAUAUGUGAGAGAGUGCACAUUAUAAAGUGAAGAGAAAAAACUCCACAUGACUUUGAAACACCUUUGAUGGUUGAUUGAAAUUGGUAAGUGAGUUUCCUCACAUGUUGUUUUUUCGGUUUUGAGUCCAAAUAUGGAGAUUUUAUGAUUUAAGGUAUUUUUCAUGAAUGCAACCCUUCAUGUAUUCAAUAACUUAUUUUCUAGUAUAAACUACGUUUGAAAUAAAAUUGAUAAAAGACAUGUGGUACACAAUUAAUGAUGGCAUGUAUAUAAAAAUAAUUAAAUUGAAAAUUUUCAAUUAUCUUUAAAGAUAUCAUGGUUUUAGUCGGUUAAAUUAUAAAAAAAAUAUUUAAUUUUUUGAUAUAAAUAAUAAUAACAAAUUAGAUAAUAGUAACAAGAAAAUAGGAAUUAGUUUGAAUAAAUGGUACCAGUUCCUAUUAUGAUAUAUCUAGAGAAGAAGUUUGAAGAAUAAAAUGAAGUGAAAUAUUCUUAAUAAAAAAAGAAAAACACAAAAAGAAAUAAAAAAAUAUUCUUAAUAAAUAUAAAAGAUGGGUGAAAUUAGAGAACAAGAAAGAGAUAUAGAAUCUCUUUGUAAGAUUUCUAAAAACUUAAUUACAAUUAUAUUAUAAUUUCUUCCCUAAAAUUAUUUAAAAUAUAGUAUUAGAAUUACAUAAUGCUAGGUUUUAAUAUAUAAUUAAAGAGUUUCUCCUUAACCAAAUAUAAAAAUAUUUUAUAAUUCUUUUGAAUGAAUUAUUAACGGAGGGACUGUUUUGGGUCCCUAUUUAGCUGAUUUUAUUUGAAUAUAUUAUUUGACUAGUCCAUUUAUAGGUUUACUCUACUAUUCUUGCCUUACUGGAACCGGAAAAUUCACUCGAAAUUUCUAGUAGUUUACACAGAAAUUUCCUGUGCUAAACUUCAAAGAAUUUCUUUUCUUUUCAUUUUGUAUUUUCUCAUUUUCUUGGCAUGCGCGCAGCUGCAUCAAGGAAAAAACGUUUCAGAUGCGUGUAAUAAAUCCAAUCGAUGAAUGAGAAAGGGACGCAAAAUAAAGAUAAAAGUGGAAUAUUCUCAUUAAUUGGUCAUCAUUUAAACGUUGGACACAGCCAUCUAUAUGUUGUUUAAAGAAUUUAAAUGGUUAGUCAGAAAGGAUUGCUUUUUAAUUAAAAAUAUAUUAAAAUAAUAUUUUUAAUGCCAAGUAUUUGUUCAACCUCAUUAAUGCUAACGAGUGGACCCAGUUGUUGUGGAAACUUUGCUAGGGAUCUGGAGUGUCAUAAUCCAAAAUUAUUCCUUAAAAUUUAUAUUUUUUCAAAAUAAAAAUCAAAAAAAUAAAAUAAAGGCUGGCAACGUGGAGAAAGCAGGCCGGAAAAUCAAGCUGUAAUUUUUGGAGGAAAUUCAAGGCGUAAUUGUACCCCACUAUGCCCCAAAAUAGAGAGAAAAUAUAAAUUCAAGGUCAAAUUAAAUGAUUAUUUGACAAAUUUGCAUAAACAUUAAGUCCGAUGACAUAAUUAAAUUUUUAAUAGGCCAAUUUGAUUUAAUCACGGGCCAAAUUAAAUUUUAAUUAUGUUUAAGAAUUAAUUUGCGUCCAAUUGAAGGAUUUAAUUAAGUGCAAGGACUUAAUUAUACUUUAAAUGGGUCAAAUUAAUUUUAUUUUGGGCUUAAUUGGUGAAAACUUAAGUUUGGGAGCUUAAUUGAGAAGAUUGGAAUUUUAAGAGACCAAAUUUAAUUCUUACCAAGUUAAUUGAUUGAAAUUAGGGGCCCAAUUGCAAGAACAUUGAAGUUUUGGGGUCAAUUGGGGGUUAAAUUGAAGAAAUUGACAGCUAAGGACCACUCUGCAAAAGGCGAAAACAUUUGGGGACUUAAUUGACAACCACCGGGGCAAAAUUGAAGAAAUUGAAAGUAUAAUGGUCAAUUAGAGGUUAAUUUGACAAAAUUCGAGACCAAGGACCAUAUUGCAAUAGGCGCGUAACUUUGGGGUUUCAAUUGAAGUUUAUCAGGGGCUUAAUUGCAUUAAAUCCAAAGUUAAGGGUUAAUUAGGGGUUCAAUUGAAACCAAUUGAAAGAUGGAGGACUAAGAUGAAAAUAUGUUAAAAUCCCUAAUUCAACUCAAAAUGGCGCCGUUUUAUAUUAAAAAAGAGAGAGAGAGAGGGGACCAGACGACGCGUUGUCGGGUCACUGUUCAUUGUCUUCUUCUUUUACCCGAAAGAAACUGCUUGGGAGCCUUAUUUGCAGGUGCAUUUAAUGCUUGAUUUCUCCAUAAAAUUGAACAAAACUUGCACGAAAAGGAUCCCCUGCAAUUCCUCUACAAACCCAUGUGAACUUUUCAGGAUUAAUGACAGCACAGCUACGCCGGAGAUGGCGUGAAGAGGUCAACUCAGGCAGCCUUUUCCUGCAGAUUUGACAACUCAGGGAGGCUACUUUGAGCCAACAGUUGGGAUCCUUCCCAACAGAAUCAAGAGCUAAAAUUUUACCCCAGUGCAAAAGAGAUUACCCUCUUCGACCGCCUAUAAAUAGAGGCUGAUUUGAUGGCCUGAGGGAGGAAAAAAAAUCGGGUCCAAAAUUUGAAAAAAACAAGCUCCCACUGCCCCCGUUUCUGCAAUUUCUCUCUCUCUCUCCGUCGCUUCAACCACCACCAACCUCAUCACCAGCUUCUCCACCACCAGCUCCAUCACAGUAAGCCACCAACCGACCACCGAGAGCCACCGUGAACCUUUCUCUCUCCUCUGCAAACCGGUUUCUUCUUUCUCCCACAGCGACUCCACCGGCCAAAACUCUCCACCAACGCCGCCAUCAGCCUCUUUUCUUCCACGACCAGACCACCGCCAACUUCACGCCAGGCCAGAGACAGCAGCUUCUUCUCCUCCGCAAGGUCGCCUCCCACUUCACUCCGCCGUCUGCGCAAAGUUGCAUGCAGAACAUGAACUUACUGUUCACGUUCUACAAUUAAUUCAUCCCUCACUUGGGCCGGGCCAUAAAUGUUUGGCUGGGUCUGGCCCGGCCUCAAAAGAAAAGGAGAAAGAAAAUAUGUUGGGCCGAUAUCGGCCCAACCUUUUUGGACCGAGAUCGGCCCAACUGUUUCUGGGUUUCUGCUUGGUCCAGUUACUUGGGCCAUCCCGGCCCACCUGUUUUAAUAAUAUUUAAUUAAUAUAUUAUAUUAUAUUAUAUAUUUCCUUUUAAAAAAAACAAAAAAAUCCAAAAAAAAUUUCAAAAAUCAUUUUUAAAAAAUUACGAUUUUCUCAAAUAUUUUUCUACCACUUUUGUAUAAUAUCGGGUUGUAUAUUUACACUGUAAAAUACAAACCUGGUAUUAAAAUACCCGGUUUUCUCCUAAAUAUUUCAAAAACAAAAUUCAAAACAUUUUCAAAGAGAAAAAAAAUAUUUUGUUGCAUACGGCCAAAUCUUAAAAUUUUUCCAAGCAUAUUUUUCAAUAAAAAAACAAAAAUUGCAUCUUUCUCCAGUUUUGAAAAUAAAAAAAAUGGAUAUCAUAACCAGUUUGUGAAUAUCCAUUAGAAUUUGGCCAACAUGUCAAAACCUUUUUCCAAUCUUUUUAGGGUUCAGAUGCAGACUUUAGUAUUUGUGGAGUGUAAAAUUACACGAUAAAGUACACCCUCAGGUAUUAAAGAUACAAGGUGUAAAUAAAUGCGAUGCUAAAAUUCAGACUUUAGAAUGGUUAGGAUUUAACCUGAUAAAGUAAAGACUUUCUCAUGAAGAGAGAUCUGCCUUAAACCUUAAAAAAGACCAACGAAUAGAAACCCGAUUUAGAAAAAAACAAUCAAACAACAAUGUAGCUUACCUUAGGUAGGGUGCACUGGGGGUGAUGCGUCUUCCCCUUGCACAACCAGUCUCUUACCCAGACUCUCGCAGACCAUAGGUUUCUAGUGAUCAUAAUACUAGGUGGCGACUCCUAAACAUUAAUCAUAAUUUUAUAAUUAAAUCCAAAAAACCUUCCCAACACACAACACCUCACACAGGAGGCACGACAAGAAGCCUUUGCCGUCGCCAGACGACGUCGCGCCCCUUGCGACAUGGAGGAAGAAAAAUGAUUGCAUUGCUAAUAAUUUGCAAGAGAGAAUUCUUUUUCUGAAUAGAAAAAACUAUUAUUUUUAAAAUAAAAACAACUAAAUAGAAAAAUUAUUAUUUUUUAAAUAGAAAAACUAGAAAAGCCUUGUAAUAUUGAAUAAAAAAUAAAAUAGAAAAAUUAUUCUUUUAAAGUAGAAAAAAUUAUGACAAUUUAAUAAUACUGAAUAGAAAUAAAUCAAAUUUUUAAACUAAAUAAAAAUAAUAGAGAAAAAUAUUUAUUAUCCUAAACUUUUUUAUAUUAAAAUCUUAAUUUAUAACAUGAACUGAGUCUACAUGCUAAAAUUAGAAGAACAAAAAAAAAAUGUAACAAAAAAAUUCCAUACAACACAAUUAAUGAUGGGAUCAUAUAUUUUGAGACUAAAAUGAGGUUUUCGAAUUACCUUUAAACAUAACAUAACAUGAUUUUAAUAGAUGUACUGUACAUCAUUUGAAUUUAUUAGAAAAAACAUAUAAUGUAAAGUAUGAACCACUUACCAUUAACUAGAUUUUUCAAUUGGAUUUUUUAUUUAAAUGAAAAGGAAAAUUUAUUUUAUUAUGAAAAAUAUUUUUUAUAUAUAUCUAGUAAUAAUAAAUUAAAGGAUAAUAACAAGAAAAUAACAAUUAGAUCGAAUAAAUGGUACCAAUUUCUAUUCUGAUAUAUCUAGCCAAAGAAUAGAAUGAAUCAAAAUAUUCUUAAUAAAAAAAAUAGAAAACACAGAAAGAAAUAAAAAAAUGUUCUUAAUUAAUAUAAAACUAUUAAUUUACAAAAGAAAUUUUCUGGUACUUUAUACUGUAUAUAAUUUGAAAAAUUGUGACUGACCGACUUACUUGCAAAGUAUUUGCAAGAAAGUUAAAGAAUUAGAGUUUUUUAAUAUUCAAAAUUAUAAUUUUAAAUUCUACGAAAAAAAUCAAUUAUUUUUAAAACUGUUUUCAAAAAUAAAACAUCAACUAUUUAUAUAAUAGCUAAAUAAAACAAUUAAAAUAAAUAAAAAAAUAACUAGUAAAAUCAAGUGAAUAAUCCAAAAAUAACAAGAAAAUAGAGAUAUUUCCUAAAUAUGAUUUCAGUUUGUUGUAUUGAUCAAUUUGCUAACAUAAAUAGCAUAAACGAACUUUAUUCUAAUAGUAUGUUUGAUAUUUAAAAAAAAAAAAAACUUAUAGAUAUUAUAUGGGUUGGCAACCCAUUUUUUAUUAAAUUUUAAAUUUUAUUUGUUUAAAAAUAUUUGUUUAUGUUUUUUAAUUAUUUUAAUAUGAUAAUAUCAAAAAUAAAUAAAUAAAAUUUUUCUAAGUUUUACUACUUCUGACUUGCUUUGACUCGAAAUUAGUGGUGCUUUCUCCUGCGAAUGAAUAGAAAGCAUAUCAUAAAGGUGUGUUUGACAUUGUGUUUUGGAAGUAUUUUUUAAAAAAAUAAAUUUUUUUAUUUUUUUUCUUCAAAUUAUUUUUUUUGUUGAUGUUUUCAUAUUAUUUUGAUAUGCUGAUGUCACAAAUAAUUUUUAAAAAAUAAAAAAAUAUAUUAUUUUGAUGUGUUUUGAAAUGAAAAAACUUUAAAAAGCAACCGCUACCACACUCUCAAACUCCUUUGUUUAUUGAGUCUUACUGUGAAACCUCGUUUUGGGAUGAAUUGAUUGUAAGAAUAAGAAAUUAUGUGCAAAUUAUACAAAAUUUAUUAUUCAUCAUCAAGAUUUAUUAUUUAUUAUCACUAUUGAAUAAUGAUUUAUUUUAUAAUAUAAAUUAUGUUUAAAAUAAAAUUGAUAAAAUUAAAAUACAUGAAACGAGGUCGUAUAUUUUGAAACUAAAUUAAAAUUAUUUUCUUUUUCAAUGAUAUCAUUUGUUAGUUUGCAAGUCCACAUGUCACGAGUCUCCACUGCAUGAAAUUUGCAAAAUCAUAUGGCCCAUUGAUAGAAGGUGUGUUGAAGCAAAAUCUGUUUUAUUGAUUAUCAAUAUUGAAUAAUAGCUUAUUUUCUAGUAGAAACUAUGUUUGAAAUAAAAUUGAUAAAAGACAUGAUAUACAAUUAAUAAUAGGAUCGUAUAUAAAAAUAGGAAAUUUCCUGGUAAUAAAGUCCCAACUUUCGUAGGCGAGCACUAAAGUCCCAAACUUCAAGAAUUUCUCUUCUUUUCCUUUUGUAUCUUCUCAUUUUCUUGGCAUGCGCGCAGCUGCCUCGAGGAAAAAACGUUUCAGAUUCGGAAAAUAAAGAUAAAUGUGGAAAAAAAAAAUCCCAAAUAAAGAUAUCUUUUCGUCCCUUGGUGUCGUGUGAAUACCAUGUGGAUAUCAUUUCAGAAAAUCAAUUCAACCGUUCUCCAAAGAACACUCAUACUCCAAUAUCAGCAACUACCACGAAAGUUACCACUCUAAAUUCCAGCUCAAUAAUUAAGGUUCCAAGAUAAGCCUAAAAAAUAUUUAUUAGGCUUAUCUUAAAGCCUAAUAAAUAUCUAAAAAAAAACAAAAAAACAAAAUUCCACCCUAGGCUGUGAUUAACAGAUUAUCUGAUGGAAACAUGAUGAGCUUUUUUUUAGUGAAUUAAGUUCAAUUAAAAAAAAAUUAAGGUUAAAUUGAUGAUUAAUAAUGAAUUUUGUAUACUUUGCACAGGAUUUUCUUAUUCUCGUCAAUUAAUCUUAAAGCGAGGUUCCAAGAUAAGCCUAAAAAAUAUUUAUUAUUGAUCAACAAUAUUGAAUAAUGGCUUAUUUUCUAGUAUAAAUUAUGUUUGAAAUAAAAUUGAUCAUAAGAGUAGAUGAUAUACAAUUAAUGAUGAAAUCGUAUAUUUUGAGACUAAAUUAAGAUUUUUCAAUUAUCUUUAAAUAUUAUGGUUUUAAUAGGUGGACAAUGCAUUCUUUGAAUUUAUUACAAGUAAUGUGUAAUUUAAAUUAUAAAAAAAUAUUUAUUUUUCUGAUAUACAUGAUAAUAAUAAAUUUGAUGAUAGCAACAAGAAAAUAGAAAUUAGUUUGAAUUAGUACGUUUCUCAUUAACAUUAAUGAUGGAAUCAAAAUCUUUGUUAGCGGUCACCUGUUCGACCUCAGUAAUGUUAACGCGUGGACCCAGCUGUUGUAGAAACUUUGCAAAGGAUCUCGAGGAAGAAAAAUGAUUGCAGUGUAAGACUUAAUUACCGAUUCUAUGAUGGGGAAUAAAUAUGUUUAUAACAGAAUUGUAAGUUAUAAUAUGUAAAAUUUAAUUAACGAUUCUAUUAUACGAAAUAAAUAUGUUUAUAACGUAAUCGUAAGCCUUAAUAAUAAGAAAUCAAUAUCUCCAUCUAUUAAUGUUCCUCAUGUAUUUAUUAUUCUUUUUUAUAUAUAUUUGAUACUUUCAAACUCUACUCACUUUAUAUAGAUUGUGUAAAACUUAAGAGAACUCAGUAAGUGAGUAUAGAGAUCAAAUAACAUUAUUUAUAGCCAAAGCUUCCCUCAAGCUUUAAUGGCUAUAUGUCCCACAUAUUUAUUAUAUCAUGGGUAGUUACAAGUGAAUCACUUUAAGAGCUUAUAAAUGUAAAUGUUACAACUUUAAAAUGAACGAUUUUAAGAGUUUAUAAAUAUAAAUAUUAUAAUUUUUAGAGUGGAUCACUUUUAGUGUGAAGGAGAGUUAGAGAAUCGAUUAUAAUGACUCUGUAAAAAACAGUCAACAUGCAUUGCUAAUAAUUUGCAACGGAGAAUUCUUUAUUGAGAUUUAUUGUUAAACCUCGCUUUGGAAUGAAUUGAUCACGAGAAUAAAAAAUAAUCACUACAUACACCCUUUAACUAUUUUACUUGAAAGUUUCGAUUAUUUCCUAAGCUCCUUUGUUCAUUUUCUUUUUUAUUACCCCUUCAUGCACGACACUUUAUGCCACUUCAUGAUACCCUUGUUUUCAACGUUUUACACUACUUUAAAAGCGUGUUUGGUAGUGUGGUUGCGGGUGCUUUUCAAAUAACUUUUCGUGUCAAAAUACAUGCCAAUGAUAUUUUUUUUAUUUUUUAAAAAUUAUUUUUGACAUCAGCACAUCAAAACGAUCCAAAACAUAUAAACCUUAUUAAAUUUUAAUUUAAAAAAUAUUCAAUUUUUUUGGGAACGCAGCCGCAUCCGCGUUCACAAACGAGUCCUCAAGUCAAUUGUUAGAUACUAAAAACAGCAAGAACUGUACUCAAUCAGCAACCACUGUGAAAUUACCACUCAAAAUCCCAUGAAUAUAUAUAAAAAAGAAUUUUGUCUAGAAAAAUUCUAUCAAAUUCUCUACUUUAUUACUCUUCAAUGUUUUACACUGCUUUAGUUCUAAAAAAACUCCUAGAUGUUAUAAAGCAAGAUAUAUACAACUAUAUAUAUAUAUAUAUAUAUAUAUAUAUAUAUGAAAGUGUAAUAAAUAUUAUAUUUUAAAGUAUUUUUUAAAUAUAUUAAAAUAAUAUUUUUUUAAAAAUAAUUUUGAUAUUAGUAUAUUAGAAUAAUAAAAAAAUAAUUUAAAACAAUAAAAAAUAUUGAAAUUUUUAAAAAAUAUGAUUUGACUGAACUCCAAAACACACGCAUGCUCCCUCAGCAGCCACCACGAAAUUACCACUCUAAAUUCCAGCUCAAUAAUUUAUUCUUUAGCAAUUAUUGCUUGCUCUUUGACAAGUACUGCUUUGCUAAUAAUUUGCAAGAAACUUUCUCAAUUUCCUUCUAUUUUCUUUUUAUCAUGGAAACUUUAAGUCACAUACCACUAAAUUACCGAUAAUUAAAUUUCAAUGUGUAAUUGUGUAGGUUUCAAUUAAAAAUGUUUUAAUUUGAGAAAAUUUGUUAAAAAAAUAGUAUAAAUUAUAUUUUAGAGUUUAUUUUAAUAGUUUAAAUUUUUAGAUGAAUAGUUUUCUAACAAAUAAAGACAUAGUUUUACGAUAAAAUGCAUUUUUUAAAAUGAAAUUAUAUUAAAUUAAGCAUGGUCGAGAUUAUUCAAAUUAUUAAUUAAUUAUAAUUAACUUUAUGUCUUUAGAGGAAACAAAAGGAAAGGACAAAAUGAUUAAUUAAAUUUUUAGAUGAAUUAAUAAAUCUUUACAAAUAAAAGAUAUAGUUUUUCAUUUUUUGAAAUGAAAUUAUAUUAAAUUAAGCAUGCUCGACAUUGUUCAAAUUAUUAAUUAAUUAUAAUUAACUUUAUGUCUUCAGAGUAAACAAAAGGGAAGGACAAAAUUAUCUUCCCCACAACGAUAAACCUAGCCCCCUUUCCAAACCAAUCCUCUAGUAAAUAGAAUGAUGGUCCCAUAAAUUGCUUUAUUCUUUCCAGCCCGCCAAGUAGUUUGGUCUCCCUCACAGGACCUCCUUAGCAUGGGAAUCAUAUGAAUUUCCUUGCUUUUCUUCCUCUACGCGUUACCUUUCACCUUUUAUAAUUAUUAUUAUUGCAUUGCUAAUAAUUUGCAAGAAAGAUUAUGAACAUUUUUUUUAGUGAAAUAAGCUCAUUUCAAAUUAACAAAAUAUAGUUUGUUGAGGCUUGUCUUGAAACCUCACUUUGGAUUAAUUGACAGGAAUAAUAAAAUUUUAUUCAAAUUAUAUAAAAUAUUAGGUGUGGAUGUGCCCUUGCCCAACAAGCUACCAUGACCUUAUCUAGAGUUGGGUGUUAACGAGACAAGCCCUUGUCCAACUCAGAGUUCGGCAUAGAUAUAUCAUGACCCAACAUAAAGUUUGGAUGCGGAAAAAAUAUAAUUUCAUUUUGAAUUAUGAUUUUUGUUGGAUAGUCUUUAAAUAAAUUUUUUUUUUAGAAAAUCAUGACCCAUAUCUGGUUAUCGGAAAAACAAUUAUGGUUGAUUUAGCCUCAUCUUCUCUGCUUGUAAAAUUGGGGCAGAUUAUGGACUUAACCGAGCAAUUACCGCUCAAAAUUCCUAGCAAUUUACAAAGGAAUUUUCCUUGCUUUUUCUCAGUAUAUUAUUAGAAAAACCGUCAUUGACUGAUUUAAUUGUAAAGUCUUUGCAAGAAAGUAAAAAAAUUAGUUUUUUAAAAUAAAAAAUAUAGAGAGAGAAAUAAAAAAUAAAAAAUAAAAAAAGGAGCGAAAGGAAACAACCGCCAUCUUUCUUGUUCCUUUUCCCUUCUUUACACGGCGUCCUCGAUGAAAAUAGCAAACACCCCAUUUGAAUAUAUAAUUAAAGAAAGAAAGAAAGAGAGGAAAAUUCCUUCCUCAAUACUUACCGCUACACGCUUCAGAAAUUCCUUGCUUUUUUUUUUUUUUUUUUCAUCUCUACUUACGUGUUACCUUUUACCUUUUAUAAUUAUGAUUAUUGCAUUGCUAAUAAUUUCCUUGCAUUUCUUUAAUAUAUAAUUAAAGAAAGAAAGAUGUUGAACACUUUUUUAGUGAAUUCAAAAUAACAAAAUAAGGUUGUUGAGGCUUUUCUUGGAACCUAGCUCAGGGAUUAAAUUAUAAAAAAAUAUAUUUAUUUUUCUGAUUAUAUAGCAAUAACAAAUUAAAUAAUAGCAACAAGUAAAUAGGAAUUAGUUUGAAUAAAUGGUACCAGUUCCUAUUAUAAUAUAUCUAGAGAAGAAGUUCGAAGAAUAGAAUGAAGUCAAAUAUCCUUACAUAAUGCUAGGUUUUAAUAUAUAAUUAAAAAGUUUUCCAUGAACCAAAUAAUAAAAAUAUUGUACAACUUUUUUGAAUGAAUUAUUAACAUAGAGGCUUAUUUGAUUUGAAUAUAUUAUUUGAUUAGUCCAUUUAUAGGUUGUCUCUAUUAUUCCUGCCUUGCAUUGCCAGGAAAUUUCACUAGAAAUUUCUAGUAAUUUAAACAGGAAAUUUGCUGGUGAUAAACCUGGAAUAUGAUUUUCAACUUUCGUAGGCGAGCACUGAAGUCCCAAACUUCAAGAAUUUCUUUUCUUUUCCUUUUGUAUCUUCUCAUUUUCUUUCUAGGAAUGUUAUGAGAAGCAGCAGAGUCAAGAGGCCAUUUUUGAUCCUGUGGACCGGAAGUAGUUGCAUAGUUAGUCGUAACCUCUGAUCAAUGGAGUCGUGGGUAAGACUUGGCUAAAUGGCCUAUCUGAUCAGGAAAUUGGCAUUUCGGUUGAUAAUGCAUUUGAGUGGUACCGAUUGGUUGAAGACUUGCAGUUGUCUUUGAAUGGACCGACCUUGAGGGAUUUUAUUGUGGCCUGGAGACCGAGAAGAUCCAUUAGUCUUAUUUGAACCCUUCGGGUGAGACCCACCAUAUGAACUAUUUAAGUUCUGUUUGUGAAGAUAAGAAUAAUUGGCAGAGGCCACAAGCUGCUGAGUUGAAGAUUCCAAACGCCGCAGGUAACUGUCAUGCCCCUCAAGAAUAUCUUGAAGCUCUUCAAAUUAUCCCAAUAGUUCUUAUAUUAAAAUCUCAUUUAUCAUAUGUUACAUCUAUCAAAAAAAAAAAAAUAAUUUGUGACGUGAACUAAAGCUAUAUGUGAAAACUAGAAAUAACAAAUGUAUGAAAAAAAAAUCAGCUGUGAUUAACAGAUUAACGAUGGAAAUUAAGAUGAUGAAUAUUUUUUUGUAAAUUAAUUUCAAUUUAAAAUAACUACAAAGAAGUUAAUUAGGAUUCCUUCCUUGAAAUUAUUAAAAAUAUAGUAUUAGAAUUAUAGAAUGCUAGGUUUUAAUAUAUAAUUUUUAAUAUUAAUUGUUAAAGAGUCUCUCUCGAACCAAAUAAUAAAGAUAUUAUAUAACUCUUUUGUAUGAAUUGUAAAUCUAGGGAUAGUUUUGGGUUUUCCAAUCACAACUUUGGACUAAAAUUAAUAACAAAAUAAAGACCAAAGAUAACGGUAUGUAAAUCUAGGGACCAAAAAUAAUACAACUGCAUUUACUGUAGAUUUCACUUAGAAUUUCUAGUAAAUUACAAAGGAAAUUUCUUGUGCUUUUUAACGUACAUGAAUUGAAAAACUACCAUUGACUGACUUGCAUUGACUGACUUGCUAAGCAUUUGCUGCUCGAAAUUUUCUCCCUAAAAAUUUUCAAGCAAUUUACGGAGCAAAUUUCCUUAUGCUCUCUCUUGUAUAUUAUUAGAAAAAUUGUUUUUAAAAAUCAAUUUUUUUUUAUUUUCCUGAGAUUCUAUUUUUUAGUCGAGUCAAUUUCAAGUUGGGUUCAAUAAUUAUGAUUAAAUUUACUGAAAAAAAAAUAAUUUUAUGUCACUUCAUGAUACCCAUGUUUUCAACGCUUUACACUGCUUUAAUAAAUUGUUACAGUAAUAGCACAGAGAGGAGCGGUUCCAGAAAAAACAAUAAUGGAGAUGAAGCAAAAUCUGUGUUUGAUUUUUUCUUUUUUGUGUUUUCGGUACAUUGGUCAACAAUAGCUUGGAAGAGUUUGGAAUCAGUAACACGUGGACCCAGUUGUUGUGGAAACUUUGCAGAGGAUCUUCACUCUGCAGGAAGAAAAAUGAUUUUAAUAGAUGUACUGUACAUCAUUUGAAUUUAUUAAAAGUAACGUGUAAUGUAAAGUAUGAUUCACUUACCAUUAACUAGUUGGACAAAAAAACUAAACUUUCUCAAUUUCCUUCUAUUUUCUUUUUAUCAUGGAAACUUUAAGUCACAUCUGCGCCUACCACGAAAUUACCGAUAAGUAAAUUUCAAUGCGUAAUUGUGUAGGUUUCAAUUAAAAAUGCUUUAAUUUGAAAAAUUAUGUUAACAAUAAUAUAAAUUAAUUUUUCUUCAAAAUAAAAAGUAAUUGGGUAUUAAUUUAGGCUAUAAAGAUAAAAUAAUAAUAAUAAAAAAGAGUUCGAGGGUAUUCAUUUUAUUAUUUGUUAUGUAACUAUAUAAUCUAAUUUGUUGAUGUGGAAAAUAGCACAAAGUUUUUGACAUGGAUAUUGGUGAGAAGCAAAAGCAGUAUCCACUAUGAGAGCUUUUGUAAACGCGUGGACCCAGUUGUUGUGGAAACUUUGCAAAGGAUCUGCAGGAAGAAAAAUGAAAUUUGCAAAGUAUUUGUGUGUAUUAUAUAAUUGUGUUAAUUUAAGGAUUAUUUUUUAGUUGUAUUAAUUUAGAAAAUAUUUUGUCUCACCGGAAAACUCUAAUUACGUUCGUAUAUUUGUUUUUGGUAACAGAUGCAAUAUGCUUUUUAAUUCAAGAUAUAUUAAAAUAAUAAUUUUUAAAAAAAAAUUAUUUUUUUUAUUUUAGUAUAUUAAAAAUAAAAAAUUUAAAAAUAGUAAUUUAAUAUUUUCUUAAAAAUAUAUUUAAAAAACACUUUUAAUUUUGUUUUUCAACUGUACUAUUCCUUGAAAAAACUCAAACUCUAAAUAAUAUCUUCUACUACAUACUUUCUAAGACUAAAAAUUAAUCUAAAUGUUUUUGAAAAGUAGUUCAACCAAAGUACCAAAUAUGUUUAUAUACUCCAUCUUCAACCACUGUAAAAUUACCACUCUAAAUUACAACUCGGUAUCGAUUACCUUUUAUCUUUGACAAUUAUUGCAUUGCUAAUAAUUUGCAAGAAAAAAUACAUUCUCAAUUUCCUUCUAUUUUUUUUUUAACAUGAAAAACUUUAAGUCACUCAAUCUGCAACCACCAUGAAAUUACCGGUCCGAAUUCCAGCUCAAUAUUUACCGGUACGACACGCUUGAGGAAUUUCCUUGCUUUUCUUCCUCUACGCGUUACCUUUCACCUUUUAUAAUUAUUAUUAUUGCAUUGCUAAUAAUUUGCAAGAAAGAUUAUGAACAUUUUUUUAGUGAAAUAAGCUCAUUUCAAAUUAACAAAAUAUAGUUUGUUGAGGCUCGUCUUGGAACCUCGCUUUGGAUUAAUUGACAGGAAUAGUAAAAUUUUAUUCAAAUUAUAUAAAAUAUUGGGUGCUGAUGUGCCUUUAUCCAACUUAGAAUUGCGACAAGCUACCAUGACCUUAUCUAGAGUUGGGUGUUAAUGAGACGAGUCCUUGCCCAACUCAGAGUUUGGCAUGGAUAUAUCAUGACCCAACAUAAAGUUUGGAUGCAGAAAAAAUAUGACUUUAUUUUGAAUUAUGAUUUUUGUUGGAUGGUCUCUAAAUAAAUUUUUUUUAUAGAAAAUCAUGACCCAUAUCUGGGUAUCGGAAAAACAAUUAUGGUUGAUUUAGCCUCAUCUUCUCUGCUUGUAAAAUUGGGGCAGAUUAUGGACUUAACCGAGCAAUUACCGCUCGAAAUUCCUAGCAAUUUACAAAGGAAUUUUCCUUGUUUUUUCUCAGUUCAUUAUUAGAAAAACUGUCAUUGACUGAUUUAAUUGUAAAGUCUUUGCAAGAAAGCUAAAAAAAUUAGAGUUUUUUAAAAUAAGAAAUAUAGAGAGAAAAAUAAAAAAUAAAAAUAAAAAAAGGAGCAAAAGGAAACAACCCCCAUCUUUCUUGUUCCUUUUCCCUUCUUUACAUGGCGUCCUCGAUGAAAAUAGCAAACACCCCAUUUGAAUAUAUAAUUAAAGAAAGAAAGAAAGAGAGGAAAAUUCCUUCCUCAAUACUUACCAGUACUACACGCUUGAGAAAUUCCUUUCUUGUUACCUUUUACCUUUUAUAAUUAUGAUUAUUGCAUUGCUAAUAAUUUCCUUGCAUUUCUUUAAUAUAUAAUUAAAGAAAGAAAGAUGUUGAACACUUUUUUAGUGAAUUCAAAAUAACAAAAUAAGGUUGUUGAGGCUUUUCUUGGAACCUCGCUCAGGGAUUAAUUAACAAGAAUAAAAAAAUCCCCUGCAAAUUAAACAAAAUUUAUUAUUAAUCAUUGAUAUUUAUUAUUGAUCAUCAAUAUUGAAUAAUGGCUUAUUUUCUAGCAUAAAUAAAAUUGUUAAAAAACAUGAUUACACAAUUAAUGAUGAGAUCGGUUAUAAAAAUGACUAAAUUGAGGUUUUUCAAUUACCUUUAAACGUAUCAUGGUUUUAAUAGGUGGACAGUACAUCCUAUUAUGUAAAUUAUAAAAAAUUAUAUUUAUUUUUCUGAUAUAUAUAGCAAUAACAAAUUAAAUAAUAGCAACAAGUAAAUAGGAAUUAGUUUGAAUAAAUGAUACCAGUUCCUAUUAUUAUAUAUCUGGAGAAGAAGUUCGAACAAUAGAAUGAAGUCAAAUAUCUUUACAUAAUGCAAGGUUUUAAUAUAUAAUUAAAAAGUUUUCCAUGAACCAAAUAAUAAAAAUAUUGUAUAACUUUUUUGAAUGAAUUAUUAACGUAGAGGCUUAUUUGAUUUGAAUAUAUUAUUUGAUUAGUCUAUUUAUAGGUUGACUCUACUAUUCCUGCCUUGCAUUGCCAGGAAAUUUCACUAGAAAUUUCUAGUAAACGAAAUUUGCUGGUGAUAAACCUGGAAUAUGAUUUUCAACUUUCGUAGGCGAGCACUAAAGUCCCAAACUUCAAGAAUUUCUUUUCUUUUCCUUUUGUAUCUUCUCAUUUUCUUGGCAUGCGCGCAGCUGCCUCGAGGAAAAAACGUUUCAGAUGCGGAAAAUAAAGAUGAAAGUGGAAAAUAGAAGCGGGGAAAAAAAUCCCAAAUAUCGACAAACAUCACAAGAGAAGCUUGAUAUCUCUUCGUCCCUUGGUAUCGUGUGAAUGUGGAUAUUAUUUCAGAAUAUCAAUUCAACCGUACUCCAAAGAACACUCAUACUCCAAUAUCAGCAACCACCACGAAAGUUACCACUCUAAAUUCCAGCUCAAUAAUUUAUUCUUUGACAAUUUUACUUCUAAAAAAAAUGAAUUUUUUUUUAUAAUUAUACGCCAUCAGCAACUACCAUUACGACUCCAAAUUCCAGCUCAAUAUCGAUCAACACGUGGCUAAAGAAUUUGUUUCCUUUUUUUUCCUGCACGUGUUACCUUUUUAUCUUUUAUAAUUAUAAGUAUUGCGUUGCUAAUAAUUUGCAAGAAAUAAUAUUCUUUCUCUAAAAAGGGCUUGAGAAAACCCUAAGCAUAGUAUAUAGUCUCUUAUAGGAAUCUCUUUAUUAAAUCAUCAAAAUAUCAAAGUCUGUUUCCAAAGACUAUGACUACAGUUUAUAUAUAGAAACAACCAAAUAUAAAAAUUAUUUUUUAAAAAUAGAAAAAACAGAAGAGCUUGAUAAUAUUUAAUUAAAAAAUAAAAUAGAAAAAUUAUUCCUUUUUAAGUAGGAAAAAAAAAUAUAAAGAUUUAAUAAUACUGAAUAAGAAAAAUUAAAAUAUUCUUUCUCUGAAAAGGGCUUAAGAAAACCCUAAGCAUUGUAGAUAAUCUCUUAUAUGAAUCUCAUCAAAAUAUCAUAGUAUAUUUCCAAAUACUAUUACGUACUACAUUUAUAUAUAUAUAUAUAUAUAUAUAUAUAGAGAGAGAGAGAAAGAGAGAGAGAGAUAGAGAGAGAAACAACUAAGUAGGUAAAGCUUAUGUUUCUUUGUUCUUGUUCCUUUAUAUAUAUACAUUCUCAAUUUCAUAAAAAAAAUUAAUUAGUCCUUGAAAUCUUAAAAAAUAGUAUUUAAUCCUUAUGUUAUUAUAUUCAUCUCUAAUUUAAUUUUUUUCAUCCAUUCAUCUUUUUAUUUAUUUAAUAGCUUAAGUUUUUAGUUAAAAGAUAAAUAGUUUUACUAUUAAAAGCAUUUUUUCGAAAUAAAAAUAAUAUUAAAUUAGGCAUCCUCAACAUUGUUCAAAUUAUUAAUUAAUUAUAAUUAACUUGAGGUUUAGAAGAAACAAAAGGGAAGGACAAAAUUAUCUUCCCCACAACCAUAGACCUAACCCCUUUCCAGACCAGUCCCCUGGUAAAUGGAAUAAUGGUCCCAUAAACAGCUUUUUUUCUUUCCAGCCCGCCAAGCAGACUAAGGCCUGUUUGUUUCUGUGUUUUAAAAGUGUUUUUGAUAAAAUUUAAAAUUUUUUUGUUUUUUUUAUUAACUUCAAAUUAAUAUGUUUUUAGUGUUUUUAAAUCAUUUUGAUGUGCUGAUGUCAAAAAUAAUUUUUAAAAAAUAAAAAAACAUCAUUAGCAUGUAUUUUGACACGAAAAACUAUUUGAAAAGCAACCGCAACCACACUACCAAACACACUCUAAGCAGUUCGGUCUUCCUCGCUGGACCACCUUAGCAUGAGAAUCACACUAGUUGGAAGUAUCUUUAAACCUCAUAAAAAUGAAUAACUGAUAAUAAUAUAAUUGGGAUUUAAAAAAAAUUCAUAAAAAAAUUUCUUAAAAAAAUCCAAAAAAUUAAACCGGACAAAAAUAAACAACCAAUAAUAAUAUAGUUAAAAUGAUAAAAAAGUGUUUAAAAAGCAAUUUGAAACCAAUUAAUCUUAAAAAAAAAAAACCAAAAAGAAACAUGCGAUGAAAACCAAUUCAUGAAAAAGUAAUUGGAUAUUAAUUUAGACUAAAAGGAUGAAAUAAUAAAAACAAAAGGAGAGUUUGAGGGUAUUCAUUGUUCAAAGGAACGCAAAAAUGCAUUCCAAGUAUGAAGUGUUUUAUUGUUAUAAAGUUUUUCAAACUUACAAUAUGGAGAGAGAAAUAAAUAAAAAGAAAAAAUAGCAAAAGGAAACAGCCCCCAUCUUUCUUGUUCCCUUUCCCACGGCCUACUCAAUGAAAAAGCAAACACCCCAUUGGAUUUCCCACGGCCGCCCACGAAAUCCCUUUAUCCUCUGCUGUUAAUUUUUUAAUGACGCAUAUCAGGUGUUUGAUAAAAUUCCUUAGCUGGGAAAGGAAAAAAAACCAUGUUAAGAAUGCUUUAGUCCUUUUCGAGUGGAAAGUGGUGUGAAAGUGAGAAGUACUGUGAGAGCUUUAUACCACUUUCUAUCUUAGACGUAAUGGCUUUGGCAAAAAGAAACCAAUAAAAGUUAGUGUUCGCACUGCUUUAGUCCAAGAGUCUUUCAUGGUUGCAUUGAUUGACUGGAAAAAAUCUCAAAGUUUUUAGAAAGAAACAGCCUUCAUUGCUUUUCGAAACCAAUCUCAGUAAUGUUAACGCGUGGACCCAGUUAUUGUGGAAACUUUGCAAAGGACCUCGAGGAAGAAAAAUGAUUGCAUUGCUAAUAAUUUGCAAGAGAGAAUUCUUUCACUGAAUAGAAAAAAGUAUUAUUUUUAAAAUAACAACAAGUAAAUUUAAAAAUUAGUAUUUUUUAAAUAAAAAACUAAAAAUUCCUGAUAAUAUUGAAUAAAAAAUAAAAUAUAAAAAUUAUUCUUUUUAAGUAUAAAAAAAUAUAAAAGUUUAAUAAUACGGAAUAGAAAUAAAUAAAAAUUCUAAACUAAAUAAAAAUAUUUUCUAUCCCAAAAAUUCUUAUAUCAAAAUCUCAUUUAUCAUAUUUUAUAUCUAUAAAAAACUAAUUUGUCAUGUGGAAUAAGUCUAUAUGCUAAAAUCAGAAAAAAAAUGUUACAAAAACAAAUUCCACAAAAGGCUGUGAUUAAAAAGAUGAUAGAUAUUUUUUAGUAAAUUAAUUUCAAUUCAAAAUAACAAAAUAAGGUUUAUUGAGGCUUACCGUUAAACCUUGCUUUGGGAUGAAUUGAUCACGAGAAUAAGAAAUCAUGUGCAAAUUAUACAAGAUUUAUUAUUAAUCAUCAAGAUUUAUUAUUUAUUAUCAAUAUUGAAUAAUGAUUUAUUUUAUAAUAUAAAUUAUGUUUAAAAUAAAAUUGAUAAAAUUAAAAUACAUGAAACGAGGUUGUAUAUUUUGAAACUAAAUUAAAAUCAUUUUCUUUUUCUAUUAUAUCCUUCAAAAUUAUUUAUUUUAUAAAAAACAAAACUUGUUAGUUUGCAAGUACACAUGUCAUGAGUCUCCACUGCAUCACUUUUGCAAAAUCAUAUGGCCCACUGUAUAUUUUGAAACUUGUUGAAGCAAAAUCUGUUUUAUUGAUCAUCAUCAAUAUUGAAGAAUGAUUUAUUUUCUAGUAUAAACUAUGUUUGAAAUAAAAUUGAUAAAAGACAUGACAUAUACAAUUAAUGAUGGGAUGGUAUCUAAAAAUGAUUAAAUUGGCAUUUUUCAAUUACCUUUAAACAUGCAUAUCAUGAUUUUAAUUGGUGGACAAUACUGUUAAAUAAUAUAUUUAUUUUGUUUUAUUUAUUAAGAUUAAAAUAAUAUUUUUAGCUUAAUCUAUAUAUAAACUCUUUAUAUUUAGAUUAAGCAAAAAUAAUAAUAUAUAUCAGAAUUCUAGUCUCAUUCCUUUUCGUAUUUAUUUUUAUGUUAAUUAAAUUGUUUUAACAAUACAUCAUGUAAAUUAUAUAAAAAUAUAUUUAUUUUUCUGAUAUAUAAAUACCUCUCUGUCCCAUUGCUGCCAUUUCAUAGCUAACUCUUUGUUAUAUUUAACUUCCUCUUCUUUGCUUCUUGCUCAUAACGAUAACUUGAAAGCCUUACGUUCAGAUAGAUAAUCAUUGACUAGCUCAUCCUAUAUCAUUCUAUUCAAUUUAUAUAUGCAGAAAGAAAAACGCAAGCAAUCCAAAGAUGAAGAAAACGCUUCAUCCUCGCGAAAGAGAAGAAAAGCUGACCUCAGUAAGCCUAUAUAAAGAAUACAAUUAACCUCAUUUCAACAUCAUAGUUAACCUCAUUUCAAUAUCAUAGCUUUGGAAUUUCAUAGCUAACUCUUUGUUAUAUUGCUCCAUUGGUAAUUGAUUGUGCCUUGAUUUCUGCAGCUGCCAUGACAGAGCCAGAGUCUUCUCGAUCUAUACCAGAAGGGGCCUAUGAUGUCUUCUUGAGUUUUAGAGGAGAAGAUACUCGCAAGACGUUUACUGAUCAUCUAUAUGCUGCCUUAGAUCAAGCAGGAAUCCACACUUUUCGAGAUGAUGAUGAACUUCCUAGAGGAGAAGAAAUCUCCGAGCAUCUUCUCAAGGCAAUUCGAGAAUCAAAGAUAUCCAUAGUUGUCUUCUCAAAAGGAUAUGCUUCUUCUAGAUGGUGUCUCAAUGAACUUGUAGAGAUUCUUAAGUGCAAAAGGAAGAAAACCGGUCAGAUUGUUCUUCCUAUAUUCUAUGACAUUGAUCCUUCAGAUGUGAGAAAACAGACUGGCAGUUUUGCAGAGGCAUUUGAUAAGCAUGAAGAGCGUUUUGAAGAGAAGUUGGUGAAGGAGUGGAGAAAAGCUCUUGAGGAUGCCGGAAACCUAUCUGGAUGGAGUCUCAAUGAUAUGGCAAAUGGGUAUGCCUUUUUUCCAAAUUUAUGGAGUCAAUAUACUUUACAUUUUUUAAUGUGAAACAAUAAAAUACUUAAUUGACUCGCUAUCAAUGACUUGCUUUUGUCUAUGAGCAGGCAUGAAGCAAAAUUUAUCAAAGAGAUUAUCAAGGAUGUGUUGAAUAAAUUAGAUUCCAAGUACUUCUAUGUUCCUGAGCACCUAGUAGGUAUGGAUCGGCUUUCUCGCAAUAUUUUUGACUUUGUAAGUACUGCAACAGAUGAUGUACGCAUNNNNNNNNNNNNNNNNNNNNNNNNNNNNNNNNNNNNNNNNNNNNNNNNNNNNNNNNNNNNNNNNNNNNNNNNNNNNNNNNNNNNNNNNNNNNNNNNNNNNNNNNNNNNNNNNNNNNNNNNNNNNNNNNNNNNNNNNNNNNNNNNNNNNNNNNNNNNNNNNNNNNNNNNNNNNNNNNNNNNNNNNNNNNNNNNNNNNNNNGAUGAUAGAGGAAAAGUUCUGAUCAAAGAACGACUUCGUCGCAAAAGAGUUCUUGUUGUUGCUGAUGAUGUGGCUUAUCUGGACCAGCUAAAUGCUUUGAUGGGAGAGCGAAGUUGGUUUGGUCCCGGAAGUAGAGUAAUUAUUACAACAAGAGAUUCAAAUCUUCUUCGUGAAGCAGAUCAAACAUAUCGGAUCAAAGAGCGACUUUGUCGCAAAAGAAUCUUGUUGUUGCUGAUGAUGUGGCUCAUCAGGAGCAGCUAAAUGCAUUGAUGGGAGAUCGAAGAUGGUUUGGUCCCGGAAGUAGAGUAAUUAUUACAACAAGAGACUCAGAUCUUCUUCGUGACGCAGAUAAAACAUGUCAGAUCGAAGAAUUGAAACUAGAUGAGUCCCUUCAGCUUUUCAGCAGGCAUGCCUUUAAGGACACCAAGCCAGCAGAAGAUUACAUUGAGCUUUCGAAGAAAGCCGUUGGUUACUGUGGAGGACUUCCUUUAGCUCUCAAGGUUAUAGGAGCUCUUCUGUACGGGAAAGAAAAAGAUAGAUGGGAAAGUGAAAUUGACGACUUGAGCAGAAUUCCAAACCAAGAUAUUCAAAGAAAGCUUCUAAUAAGUUAUGACGCACUUGAUGGUGAACUACAAAGAGCAUUCCUUGAUAUUGCAUGCUUCUUUGUUGGUAUAGAGAAAGAAUACGUCGCACAAGUGCUAGGAGCCCGUUGCCGUCGCAAUCCAGAAGUUGUUUUGGAAACUCUCCGUGAAAGGUCUCUGAUUCAAUUUCAUGAGUGUAUAAUUGAAGAUGAAAGGCAGUUAUCUGGAAGGACGGUAGCCAUGCAUGAUCUAUUACGAGACAUGGGAAGGGAGGUCGUUUGUAAAGAGUCUCCCUUGCAUCCUGAAGCAAGGACCAGAAUUUGGAAUAAAGACGAUGCAUGGAAUGUACUUGAGCAGCACAAGGUAAGUAAGAGCUCAAUGCAUACACGAAAGCAUAGUCAUGCGUAUUUUCUAGUCAAGCUUAUUACAAAUAAUUGAAUGAAAGUUGUAUUGAUUUUUUUUUUAGGGUACGGAUAAAGUUGAGGGUCUUGCACUGGAUGUCAGAGCAUCAGAAACUAAAUCACUUAGCGCAGGAUCAUUUGCAGAAAUGAAAUGUUUAAAUUUACUCAAAAUCAACGGAGCACAUCUCACCGGAUCCUUCAAAUUGCUUUCUAAAGAGUUGAUGUGGAUUUGUUGGCAUGAAUUUCCUUUGAAAUAUUUUCCAUCUUAUUUUACUUUGGACAAUCUAGCUGUUCUUGAUAUGCCGUACAGUAACCUCAAAGAACUAUGGAAGGGAAAAAAGGUGCGAAACAUGCUACAAUCCCUAAAAUUUCUCCAGUAUGUAAUUUAUAUUUACAUGUUAUGACUUUCUAUGAUUAAUUUUCAUUAUUUUUCUCUCUAUUAUAACAGAUUCUCGACAAGCUUAAAAUUCUUAAUCUCAGUCAUUCUCAGCACCUUAUUAAAACACCAGACUUGCACAGUUCAAGUCUAGAGAAACUAAUUCUGGAAGGUUGCUCGAGUUUAGUUGAGGUGCAUCAAUCAAUUGAAAAUUUGACGAGCCUUGUUUUCUUAAAUCUGAAGGGAUGUUGGAGUCUGAAGACUCUCCCUGAAAGCAUUGACAAUGUAAAAUCUCUUGAAACUCUGAAUAUUUCUGGGUGUUCACAAGUUGAGAAAUUGCCGGAACGCAUGGGUGAUAUGGAAUUCUUAACCGAGCUGCUAGCUGAUGGGAUUGAAAAUGAGCAAUUUCUCUCUUCAAUUGGACAAUUAAAGCAUUGCAGAAGGUUAUCAUUGUGUGGAGACAGUUCGACGCCACCAAGUUCUUCUUUGAUUUCAACAGGUGUUUUGAAUUGGAAACGUUGGCUGCCAGCAUCUUUCAUUGAAUGGAUAUCAGUGAAACAUCUUGAGCUUUCUAAUAGUGGUUUGUCUGAUCGCGCAACUAACUGUGUUGAUUUCAGUGGUUUGUCCGCUCUAGAAAAAUUGACUCUAGAUGGAAACAAAUUCUCUAGCCUGCCUUCUGGGAUCGGCUUCCUUUCCGAGCUAAGGGAGUUGUCUGUUAAGGGAUGCAAAUAUCUUGUAUCAAUCCCAGAUCUUCCCUCAAGUUUAAAGAGUGUGUUUGCAUGUGAUUGCAAAUCAUUGAAAAGAGUAAGAAUACCAAGCGAGCCAAAAAAAAGACUAUUUAUAAAGCUAGAUGAAAGUCAUUCGUUAGAAGAGUUUCAGGGCAUUGAAGAUCUAAGUAAUUGUUUCUGGUAUAUUCGUGUUGAUGACCGCAGGCAUUCAACAAGUAAAUUACUGGAGCGUUGUUGAGGUACUAUUUCUUUCCGUCUCUCUUUCGCACAAAAAGAAACACACACAAUUGACACAUACAUUGAUUAAUGUCUAAAAUCUCAGCAUUCCUUGAAAUCAAUAUGUAUAUAGGCAAUAAUCAUUAUUAUUAUUAUUAUAUUUAAAAAAACAAAUAUCAUCUUUAAUAAUAUUUUUUUAUUAAAUAUUUAAAGUCUGAUUGGUUUUAUUUUUUAUUUCUUGAUUUUAUGAUAAUAUAUUUAUACAGGCAAUGUGCAACGGUCGUCACGGGUAUUUUAUUCGCCACACUCCUGGUCAGAUGCCAAAUUGGAUGAGCUACAGGGGAGAAGGACGCUCAUUGUCAUUCCAUAUACCUCCAGUCUUCCAAGGCUUAGUUGUUUGGGUUGAUAAGGAUGAUAAGGAUGCUCACAUUAUUAUUAUUAUAAGAAAUAAUAGAAAUGGUAAUCUCUUGUUUCAAUGUACGAAAUGGUAUUAUCAUCCAAAAACUGGAAGUAUAAGAUACAUAAGAAGAAGUGAAAUGGCAAUGGAAGAUUACUGUGCAGAUGACGAAUUGGAACUAUACAUUUAUUCAAAGCCAUCACCGUUGGCAAUGGCAAUGGCAAUGAAGGAUGCUGUGAUGCCUUCAUUUGAACCGUCUACACCUAAGCAAUGUGGGGUCCAUGUGAUCGUAGGAAAGUCAGAUUCAUUUGAAGAGUUGGCAGUGGGAAGAGAUGCAGUGAUGCUUCCUCAUCCUCGUUGUGGUUCGAUUACAGCGUCUACACCUAAGCAAUGGAUUGACUUUUUAUUUGCGAAGCUGCAAAACCAUAACCUCAAUUUAAGGCUUUUUGGUAAGAAUACAUAUUUCCUUUAGUUAUUUCUAUUUUAAUAUUCUAUUUAAUUUAAGAGAUUAAAUAUCAU
This 67218-nucleotide long non-coding RNA is filed under the name Populus trichocarpa (black cottonwood). RNAcentral's name for it is "long non-coding RNA (PTRI_LNC004305)". The record is from RNAcentral. Lineage: Eukaryota; Viridiplantae; Streptophyta; Magnoliopsida; Malpighiales; Salicaceae.